UUUUUUUUAAAAGUACUACCUAUUUUGUACCAAAUUCGAAAAGCGUAUGUCGAAAUUGAAAAUAAAAAUAAAAAUAGCACCCCGUCGGCCUCUGGUCGGUCGAAGAGGGGCCCGUCAGCCGGCGCGAGGCCGAAGAGGCCCCGUCGGCCUGCACGCGACCGAAGAGGGGCCCGUCGGCCUCCCGUUGGCCGAAGAGUGGUAGGGGCACAAAACACAAUUAAGAUGGCAUUAAAUGAAAAAGUUAUCAACAUGAAAAAUAUUUGUCUCGUCGAAUCGGUUGAUUUUGAUAUAAAAAUCGUCUUAAUCCGAGGUCGUAUGCAACCUGUAGAGCCAAAACAAGGUUAGGGGCAAAAGUUGCACAGUUACUUCGGACAAACCGACUGGAUGUCAGAAAAUUUGUUACGGGACACCCUAUGCAGGCCCUAAGUUACUUCGGACAAACCAGAUGCGUUUAAAAAAAGGUAAUUAGGUGUUUAUUCCCUGCAACAAGUGAUUAGUUGUUUAUUAGAAGGAAAAUGGAAAUAUGGAAUUACAGUUAGGAUUUUUGAUCCAAAAAAUUAUUCGUCUCCACCGGGAAGACUGCUUGCAUACCGCGCUUUUGGCCGAUACACGGUGACGAUUUUGUGUGCAUCACCCCUGGCGUCGAGGGUACACGGUGACAGGCCUGAGAGGNNNNNNNNNNNNNNNNNNNNNNNNNNNNNNNNNNNNNNNNNNNNNNNNNNNNNNNNNNNNNNNNNNNNNNNNNNNNNNNNNNNNNNNNNNNNNNNNNNNNUUUGCAUUUUCAUCAUUUUGCAAAUCUUAAGCUUCAUUUUCCUUUGCAAAAACCUUUUGGUAAUCAUGAGAAAUAGUAGAUUUUCAUGAAAAUCAGUAUUUCCAGUAGGUAAUAAAUUACUUUAUUAGGGUACUAACCACUCUAAUCAGCUUAUGAUGAGUUUCGUAUGAACGGAGUUUUCAAGUAUGCGAUGGGAGAUGAUGGAAGAAGAUACAAGAGUGUCAAGCGCUCAAGCUUGGGGAUGCCCCCAUGCACCCCAAUAAAUAUUCAAGGAGACUCAAGCGUCUAAGCUUGGGGAUGCCCCUGUGCAUCCCCUUCUCUAUCAACAAUCAUCAGUUCGUCCAUCUCCAUGCUAUAUUUUUAUCACUUCAUAUGUUAUGUGCUAUACUUCGAGCGUCCCGCCCUUUACUUUUUAGUUUGUUUUAGUUUUUCUUGCUAUUCAUAACAAGUCGGAACCUAGCCUACCUUGUUUGGGAGAGAAGGAUGUUCCAUUCCGCUCUAGAACACAACAUAGGUUUUCAUGCUUAUUUUUUGUGUGUGUUCUUUAUCUUUUCGUAGCUACUGUCAUGCCUAGAUCUUAUUUUUCAUGCUAUAUAUUUUUAAGAGCGAUUAUUUAGGUUGAUUUUGGAACUCUCUUUAGUUAUCAUGCUUAUCUUGUCAGAGAGUUGGCUUGUUGAACUGAGUUGUGUGUCUUACAUGAGUAGGUAAUUAAAAUUGCUAUUUAAGUAUAGUAGUAACUUGCAAUAGUUUUGAGGUAUUGAUUUGAGUAAUGUUUGGACUAUUUGUGCCAAGAGCUUGAGCCUAUUAGUGAUAGGUGCCAUAUUUUGGGAAAUCCAUGUGUUUUUUAAAAACUAAAAAGUAGUUGAGAACUCUAGCUACUAAAUUGAUCGCUAACCUCUAGUGGGGUUGGAAUAUAUAGAGUACCCUCACGUUACCAUGGGUCGAGGAUGCGCAAGGAUAACCAAACCCCCAAACACUCCUCCUUGGGGUACUUGUCUCUUUGUGAAUUUCCUAACUAGAUAGAGAGUUACCAAUAAUAAGUGUAUGAGUUCUUCGGACUAAUGUGAUUAUUCGAUUGUUGGCACUUCCACUAUCCAUAUUUUGCUAGCCUCUUCGGUACCGUGCAUUGCCCUUUCUCAUCUUGAGAGUUGGUGCAAACUUCGCCGGUGCAUCGAAACCCAUGACAUGAUACGCUCUGUGAUACAUNNNNNNNNNNNNNNNNNNNNNNNNNNNNNNNNNNNNNNNNNNNNNNNNNNNNNNNNNNNNNNNNNNNNNNNNNNNNNNNNNNNNNNNNNNNNNNNNNNNNGUUGUCUUCACAUCCACAUGAGCCUCAAUGAGGGUCUGCUAAGCCUCCGAGUGGAUCUCGAGAAUACACUCGGAGGAAGCUUUUUUACUUAGGCGACUCUGGAUCGCAUCUAAGUCCCCGAGUGCGGAUUUUAUUGCGCACUCGGAGCUAGUUUGUACUUAGGCGAUUCUGGGUCACAGCUAAGUCCCCGAGUGCGGCUUUUAGUGCGCACUCGGAGCGAGUUUGUACUUAGGUGACUCUGGGUCGCAGCUAAGUCCCCGAGCGCGACUUUUAGUGCGCACUCGGAGCGAGUUUGUACUUAGGCGACUCUGGGUCGCAGCUAAGUCCCCGAGUGCGACUUUUAGUGCACACUCGGAGCGAGUUUGUACUUAGGCGAUUCUGGGUCGCAGCUAAGUCUCCGAGUGCGGCUUUUAGUGCGCACUUGGAGCGAUUUUGUACUUAGGCGACUCUGGGUUGCAACUAAGUCCCCGAGUGCGACUUUUAGUGUGCACUCUGAGCGAGUUUGUACUUAGGCGAUUCUGGGUCGCAGCUAAGUCCCCGAGUGCGGUUUUUAGUGCGCACUCCGAGCGAGUUUGUAGUUAGGCGACUCUGGGUCGCAGCUAAGUCCCCGAGCGCGAAUUUUAGUGCGCACUCGGAUCGAGUUUGUACUUAGGUGACUCUGGGUCGCAGCUAAGUCCCCGAGUGCGACUUUUAGUGCGCACUCGGAGCGAGUUUUUUUGACGGGAGUCUGCAAACGCGGAAGAAUUUUGACCCUGCAAGAAAUCAAUUUGCUUUGUAUUACUUCAAUGAUACUUGUUCUUUACAUUGUCUCCGUCGGCGGUCACGUGUAGAAGCGUUUCAGGAGAUGUCCAUUCCAUGCUUGCGGCUCGUCCGUUUCCCUGUCGAGGUUAUAGAGUCGAUACGCUCCGUUGUUCAGCACCUUAGAGAUGAUGAAGGGUCCUUCCCAGGCGGGAGCCAACUUGUGAGGUCUCUGCUGAUCCACUCGGAGCACCAGGUCGCCUGCUUGGAAUGUGCGAGUCCUGACGUGCCGCGUGUGAAAUCGCUGAAGAUCUUGUUGAUAAAUUGUUGAGCGAGUCAGUGCCAUCUCGCGCUCUUCUUCUAGAAGAUCUACUCCGUCUUUCCUGGCUUGCUCUGCUUCGGCUUCGGAGAAGAGUUCGACUCAUGGAGAGUUGUGAAGCAAGUCACUCGAAAGGACUGCCUCGGCUCCAUAAACGAGGAAGAACAGGGNNNNNNNNNNNNNNNNNNNNNNNNNNNNNNNNNNNNNNNNNNNNNNNNNNNNNNNNNNNNNNNNNNNNNNNNNNNNNNNNNNNNNNNNNNNNNNNNNNNNGUAUUUGUGUGAUAGUAGUAGGGGUUUUGCUCUACACCAUAGUGGUGUCAAUUACCUCUUGGUGUUAUGUGUGUGCAAACUAUGCCUAGACAAAGUGGGCAUGUGGCUGAAAAAUUCCAGAUUAGUGAACUCUGAAAUUUCACUAAGUCUGGGAUCCUGGAAACAUUUUCUUCCCCUAUAUAUGAGGAUGUUCUGGUCAUUCUGUUGCACACUAGCCUUAGUUCAGUGCUAGGAUUUUGAACCUGGUAUGUGUGUGAAGCUCCCUGUAAAAUUUCAAGUAAUUUGGAGUCCAGUAGGUUGUGUUUUGGUUGCUGUCAAAAAGCUUGAGAACAGAGGCAGAAACUCAGGUGCAGGAAUUUUCACUAAGUCCCUGAGAUCUGAUGGUUUUGGGAAAGUUUGGGGCCUUGUAUCUUCUAGAGUUUAAUUCCUUUUGCUGUGAUUCUUGCUGGUGCUUGUAGUGUUCUUGGUUGGCAACAGACACAUAUAUUAUUUGUCAUGCUUGAAGACCUGUAGCUAUGUUGCAUGUAGCUCCCAAAUAGCUAAGAUGCAGAUUAUGGCAGAUUAUGUAGUUUUGUCAUUUUGAUCAAAGUAUGUGCUUAAUUGAUGUUGUGGUGUUCUACCUUGCUCCAAUUCAUUCAUGUUGGGUUGUUACAUGUCUUGGCAACCUGGGAAUACCAGAUUUGUGCCAUUUGAGUGUGUGGUGUUGAUUCUUUCACGUAGAGCUUCAUAUCUUGUUUCGUUGAUUCCCGUUGAUCCGUAGCUCCGUUUGCAAUGUUCUUUAUAUGGUUUUGCACCAUUUUCACGAGCCGCACCUGUUCAUGUCAUUAUCAUGCAUGUCAAAAUAGUUCAGUGUUCAAUUCUGUCCCGAAACUUGCAGCAGUUUAUUUUGCUUGUGCUUGUGAUAGAAAUAGUGGUGCAUGCUCAAAUUUCAUCGCAUGCAUCAUGUGAUUGUUGCAUCUUGUGGUGCUGCUGUUCAUUGGAUGUUAUUAUUGUGUUGGAUAGCACCGGGAUCGGAGAACGAAUACGUGGAGUCAGGAGAGUACGUGCAGGACGAUCCAGAACCAUUCCAAGCUGAGGAUAUCACAGGCAAGAUGAUAUGACCUUGAUUCCAUCUCUAGACUUGUUAUGUUAGUUUCGUUUCCAUGUCAUAUUGCUCGCUACCUACCACUGAAAUUAAAUUGCCUCUUCAUAUGCCAUGAGCCCAAACACCGUACUCCUUCCUAGCAAACUUGUAUGGCUAANNNNNNNNNNNNNNNNNNNNNNNNNNNNNNNNNNNNNNNNNNNNNNNNNNNNNNNNNNNNNNNNNNNNNNNNNNNNNNNNNNNNNNNNNNNNNNNNNNNNAAAAUCCAGCACCGCCGGAACUAUGUCAUGCUUCAGUAGAUCCCAGUGAUGCUGAUAGAAGCCGGUUGUGAAUCCCUCCACCCCUGGCGCUUUAGAUGAGGCCAUCUGAAAUAAAGCAGCAUGCACCUCUUAUGCUUUGAACGGUUUAUACAGCAAAUCAUCCAUUGCCGGUGUGACCCGACUUGGAAAUGCGAUAACAUCUUCUCGUUGUUGUUGUACCCUUGAGAUGUAUAAAGGGCUUGAUAAAACGCAAGGAUAUCUUCCUUAUCAUCAUCUCCCGAGGCACAUACUGAGCCAUUCGACCGCUGCAAAUUGGUGAUCUUGUUUAUGCGUUUACGUUGCUUAGCUUGCGCGUCAAAGUAGGUCGUGUUGUGUUCUCCUUCGCAUAACCAAGGGACGCGAGACCGCUAUUUCAACCAUAUCUCCUCCAGUUUGAGCGCUUCUCGGAGCUCAAACAUAGUAGCUCUUUCUUCCUCUGAAGGACCUCGUCCAACUGACUGCCAUCGCAACCUCUCGAACCGAUUUUGCAGCUGCCGGACUGUCCUUGUUAGGCAACCAAAUUAUUGAACCCCCAAGGCAAUGGCUUGUGUUGUAGAGCCGCGAGGGAGUCCAUUACAUCAUGCAGGCCUCGCUGCCUAGCUUGUGCUUGCCAAGUUUCUGUAACCAGCUGUUCAUAGUCAUUAUGAGAUCGCCAUAUGUUCUCAUAACGAAAAGGUUUCUAAGGAUCUGAAUUGCUAUUAGGAUGUUGUUGCCGCAAGUUAGCAAGUACAAAGCACUGAUAUGACUCGACGGAACAAACAUGGCGCACUUUAACAUACUCGAAUAUCUGUCUGAAUUCCUCAUUAGCAAAUGCUCGGUCUAACCGAGCUUUAACAUUGGCAUUGUCAGAUUGUCGAUUGUCCCAUGUAUAGGGAACUCCGAACCAACCUAAAUCGUGAAACACGCACUCAUCCGUGGGGCCAAUAGCUCAUGUGCGACGUCUUUCCUGAGAAUUGGAUGGAAUGAGACGAUGUUCGACAGAAUGGCUCGGCAGCGACACUUUUGAGCGAGUAAAUAGCUCCUGUGCGACAUGGACCUUAAGCUGAACUGAUAUCCUCAUUAGCUGUUAUGGGUUGGACCCACAACGUAUCCACGUAAGCGCGGGACCCACCACUUGUCCAGUAAGCGCGGGACCUACCUCGUCGCGGCUAGAAGCGAUUCGGCCCGUGCCCGUCCGUCCGCCGCCGCCCAUUGCUUUCCCCUUUCCCCAUUCUUCUUCUUCCUCGGGUCUCCGGCGACCUAGUGCAGAUGUCCACCGCCUNNNNNNNNNNNNNNNNNNNNNNNNNNNNNNNNNNNNNNNNNNNNNNNNNNNNNNNNNNNNNNNNNNNNNNNNNNNNNNNNNNNNNNNNNNNNNNNNNNNNAGGACAUUCUGAACGUCUGGCAAGCGCGGAGUGAUGACUACUCUCUGGUCAGGUGUGGCAUGUUAUACAGUUUAGAAACGGGGCUCCAAAGGCGUUUUGAGCAACACGGGGCAUAUGAGAUGUCCCAGGAGCUGAAGCUAGUUUUUCAAGCUCAUGCCCGUGUCGAGAGAUAUGAAGUCUCCGACAAGUUCUUCAGCUAUAAGAUAGAGGAGAACAGUUCUGUCAGUGAGCACAUACUCAAAAUGUCUGGGUUACACGAUCGUCUGACUUCACUUGGAGUCGAACUUCCGGAUGAUGCUAUCAUUGACAGAAUCCUCCAGUCUCUCCCACCAAGCUACAAAGGCUUUGUGCUUAACUACAACAUGCAAGGGAUGGAGAAGACCAUUCCCGAGUUGUACUCGAUGCUCAAGUCUGCAGAAGUAGAAAUAAAGAAGGAGCAUCAAGUGUUGAUGGUCAACAAGACCACUAGUUUCAAGAAAGGCAGGGGUAAGAAGAACUUCAAGAAAGACGGCAAAGCUGUUGCCGCGCCCGGUAAGCCAGAUGCCGGGAAGAAGAAAAAGAACGGAGCCAAGCCUGAGACUGAGUGCUUCUAUUGCAAGGGAAAGGGUCACUGGAAGCGGAACUGCCCCAAAUACUUAGCGGACAAGAAGGCCGGCAACGUUAAAGGUAUAUGUGAUAUACAUGUUAUUGAUGUGUACCUUACCAGCGCUCGUAGUAGCUCCUGGGUAUUUGAUACCGGUGUUGUUGCUCACAUUUGCAACUCAAAGCAGGAACUGCGAAAUAAGCGGAGACUGGCCAAGGACGAGGUGACAAUGCACGUCGGGAAUGGUUCAAAGGUCGAUGUGAUCGCCGUCGGCACGCUACCUCUACAUCUACCGUCGGGAUUAGUUUUAAACCUUAAUAAUUGUUAUUUAGUACCAGCUUUAAGCAUGAACCUUGUAUCAGGGUCUUGCUUAAUGCGAGACGACUACUCAUUUAAGUCAGAGAAUAAUGGUUGUUCUAUUUAUAUGAGUGAUAUGUUUUAUGGUCAUGCUCCGCUGGUGAAUGGUUUAUUCUUGAUGAAUCUCGAUCGUGAUGUUACACAUAUUCAUAGUGUGAGUACCAAAAGAUGCAAAGUUGAUAAUGAUAGUCCCACAUACUUGUGGCACUGCCGCCUUGGUCAUAUCGGCGUUAAGCGCAUGAAGAAGCUCCAUACUAAUGGACUAUUAGAGUCUCUUGACUUUGAAUCAUUUGACACAUGCGAACCGUGCCUCAUGGGCAAGAUGACUAAGACUCCAUUCUCAGGAAUAAUGGAGAGAGCAACCGACUUAUUGGAAAUAAUACAUACUGAUGUGUGUGGUCCAAUGAACGUUGAAGCUCGCAGUGGUUAUCGUUAUGUUCUCACUCUCACCGAUGAUUUGAGUAGGUAUGGGNNNNNNNNNNNNNNNNNNNNNNNNNNNNNNNNNNNNNNNNNNNNNNNNNNNNNNNNNNNNNNNNNNNNNNNNNNNNNNNNNNNNNNNNNNNNNNNNNNNNAGUAAUUUUUGUAGCAAUCCUAGACCGUUCCCAUCCAACAACUAUGGGAACAACAACAAUUAUCCUAGCACCAAAAACUCCACUUCUAAAAUAGAGAGCAUGCUUAAAGACUUUAUCACUUCUCAAAAAGCCUUCAACAAGAGUGUAGAAGAGAAGCUAGAAAAAUUAGAUAGUCUCCCUUUGAAGGUGGACAAUAUAGCUCACGAUGUAGAGAUGCUUAAAAAUAGUACUUCCCCGCUUGAGGAAAGGAACACCACACCCAUGAAUGCUAUCCAAGUCCAAAUUAAUGAGAACAUGAGAAUGCUAGCCAAACUUAAAGAGAGAUGGGCUAGAGAAAAAGAAGAGGAAGAUAUUAUUAAGAGCCUUCCUACACACACUACCAUUGCUAUUGUACAAUUUGUUGAGGAUCUCAAAACUUUUAGCACCCAUCGCACUCCUAGUCCCAAUGGACCUAUUAAUGGUGAUGCUAAUACCUCAAUUAUAGGACAAGAAGGUCCUUUGAAUUUAGAGACAACCAAAAGAAUGAGCUUAAAUGACAUUACUACCACUUUAACUAAUGGUAGUAACCUUGAUUUUGACAAUUGUACCCUUUUUGAAGUUAUCACCUUUUUGCAAAGAAUGGCUAAAGACCCCCACACUAGUACACUUAAUAUUGCCUUCACCGAGCAUAUUACCAAUGCUCUUAUCAAUGCUAGGGAGGAGAAGCUCAAGCUAGAGACUUCUAUUCCUAGAAAACUAGAAGAUGGUUGGGAUCCUAUGGUCAAGAUUAAAUUAAAUAAUAUCUCUUGCUUUGCAUUAUGUGAUGUUGGAGCUAGUGCUUCCGUUAUGCCCAAAAUAAUGUAUGAUAUGCUUGAUUUGAAAUCUUAUGAUCCAUGUUCUUUUGGUGUUCGUCCUGUUGAUUCUUCCAUAAAGAAAUCUUUAGGGAGAAUUUAUGAUGUUCUUAUUAUUGUCAAUGAUAAUUAUGUGCCCGUUGAUUUUGUUAUUAUGGACAUUGAAUGUGAUCCUUCAUGUCCAAUUAUUUUGGGACGUCCUUUUCUCCGCACUGUUGGUGCUAUCAUUGACAUGAAAGAGGGGACCAUUAGAUUCCAAUUUCCCCUUAAAAAGGGAAUGGAACACUUCUGUCGAAAGAAUAUUAAGGUGCCUUAUGAGUCCGUCAUUCGGGCAAGUUAUUCUUAUAGAGUUGAUAAUACUUGAUCUUUUUGCAUUAUGCCUAGCUCAAAGGCAUAAAAGAAAGCGCUUGUUGGAGGUAACCCAAUUUGUUUUUUACUUUCAGUUUUAGUGGUCUUGAUGCUUGUUACUACUGUAGCAACAUCAUUGUAUCUUUAUUUUUAAGCUUUGUGCCAAGUUUUAGCCUCCGAUUGCAAGAAAAUUCAAAAGUUGUGACAUGCUGUCCAGAAACAGAUUAUGUGUGCCUGACGGAACAAUUCGCCAAAGAUCAUCAGAUCAUCUUGUUGAUCUGAUUUUUUACAGCAUGCUCUAUAUAAUUGUCUUUCUGGCAUCUGUUCUGAGUUUUUCGAUCUGAGUUGUAGAAGUGCCCCGAAUAAAUUAUUUACUACGUGUUGUUCUGUUUUUCGCAGAUCCUGUCAUGUUUUGCAUUUUCAUCAUUUUGCAAAUCUUAAGCUUCAUUNNNNNNNNNNNNNNNNNNNNNNNNNNNNNNNNNNNNNNNNNNNNNNNNNNNNNNNNNNNNNNNNNNNNNNNNNNNNNNNNNNNNNNNNNNNNNNNNNNNNGAUAGAGGAUUACUUUGCGGCCCGUGUACGUUUGUGAUGGACUAGUUGGAGCACCCCUGCAGGGUUUAAUCUUUCAGAAAGCCGUGCCUGCGGUUAUGUGGCAACUUGGAAUAUUUUGUUAACAUUCGGUAAUAGAUAACUUAAACAUAAGCUAAUAAAAUUGCCAACUGUGUGCGUAAUCGUGACUGUCCCCUUCGAAGAUCUCUCUUCGAUCGGAAACACGGUGGGGUUAUGAUUGAUGUAGGUAGGUGUUCAGGAUCACUUAGUGAUCAUCUAUCAUCGACCGCUAGUAUAGACCACCUUCGUAUAUGUUCUACGUAAGUUAGCCACCAUACCAAGCAUAGGAUGCUCCAACCUAAAUACUCCACCUGUCCAACCUAAUAACUUGACUAGUUCUAGCACCGAGGUCAUAGAUUGCUGAGUCCCCGUGGCUCACGGAUUCCUUCUCAACACCAACAGGUUCAGGUACCCCCGAGACAGGUGAUCCCGACGGCACGUAGUUGGCAUGGCAGUAUGAUGAGGAGAACAACCGCCUGUACGUGAACUAUCCAGAAGAUUGAGGCGUGGUCGUGAUCGUGGGCCAGCAGGCAGGGUAGCAUAGUCAUUUCCCUUGUUUUGUAGUCCGUAGUGGAACUACCUUGUUUGCAUGCGUGAUGUAACUCUGAUAUAUUAAUGAGAUGACAGUUUAAUCCCUUAUUGUCAUUCCUCUACUAUUUAUGUAUGUGCUAUGUUACCAUGUUUGCGAAAUGCUUAGAUGCGCUUCUUUCCAAUUCGGGGCCUCGAUCCCCAGAUUGGAAAGGAUCGCAUCUUAGUCGUUACAAGCUGGUAUCAGAGCCUUACGACCAUAGGAGCCUUUGUGUGAUCGUACUUGGCCGAGUCGAGUCUAGUAAAAUGUUUUGAGUCUUAGUUAUAUCAGAGAGUAGGAUUAUUUUUUCUCCUCUUCCAUGCUCUGGUGAGGUUCCCGUCUUAGGAAAUCUUAAUUCUACUCCUCUUCUCGCUCAAAAAAAAAUUAGGAUCACGCGGGUAUUUGUGAAAUCUAUAUGAUUUCGAUGUGACGGAGUUCUAUCUUGGUGCCUCCUGUCUGCCUUGAUUUCUUCCGAGGAGUUGAGCUCUAGGGGAUUCUUGCGCACAUCACCAUCAUUCAGAUUUCUUAGUAUCUAAGAAAGAAGGAUGUUCGUAAUUGCUUCAAUACUGGUAGUGGCGAGAUAACCCCGAUGUCCCCAGUACUGGUGCAGAUUGUUCGGGAGUACUGCCAUACUUUGUAUCGUUGUGAUCAUGAGGGUCUGUUGUAGAUGAAGGUUCGAGAUGCUGAAUGUGUGUUGAUGGAUGUGAUACAGGUGACGGGUUAGUAUAGGAGUUGUGUGAUAUUACUCCUUGUAUCCGUGUACCAGAUUGCAUGACCAGUUAUUUCGGGAAUUCAUAGGUUGGAUAUCAAGUAGUAUCUUAUAGGACUAUCUUCCUACAGAUGCAUGAUGGAGGUUGGGAUUCGAUAUUCACUGGGUGCGUUUGUUCACGGUCGUCUUACAGCGGUUCUCGUUGUGUCUUAAAGAGUCCUUGUAGCUCGCUACGACUCGGGGAUACUUUGUAUGUCGUGUGCACUACCUUGCACAGGAUGGCUACUAUAAAUUCGAGUCCGUGCGAUCUUAUCCACAAAGAUAUCGGAUGAAAUCUCGAUCAUAUGUUUGUUCCGAGCAGUUCUAGCUCAUACUUGUUUGCAGUGGUCUUAAUCGGAAUUUUGUCGACCGUCACUUUUAGGAAGCAUUCUUACUAUUUUCUUCGAGUGCAAUUGCUUUAUUCCUGUUUAGAUAUUCCUGUCAUUUUGAUUCAGCAAUAUCUUCAAUUUAUUCUGUGGGCUAAUGUGUUGUCCGUCUUUAGGAUGGCUCCACCAACGCGUCAGAACCCAGGGCAUGAGGAUGUGCCGCCACCACCUCCUCCUCCGAAGAAUCCUCCUCCGCCGCCGCCUCCUCCUGCAGAGGCCUGGCAAGCGGUGAUGGCCUCCACUAAUGCAAAUAAUCAUAUGUUGCUACAGUUGUUGCAAGAGAGAGCUAAUCAGCAGCAAGACAAUUUCCAGCAUGGUGGCAAUCAGUUUGCUAGUCUGAGUCAGUUCCUGUCGAAUCAGCCAAAGACUUUCACUUCCUAUGACCAGCCAUUUGAUGUCGAGGAUUGGAUCCGUGAUAUGAACAAGCAUUUCGAGUGUAGCAAUGUUCAUCCUGAGGAAUUUUUUCAAAUUUGCAACAUUCCAGUUGAAGGGGCAGGCUUCUAUCUAGUGGCAACAGUUGAAGGAUUCCAGAGGCGCUAGAGUGAUCACUUGGGAUGAGUUCUGCAGUGACUUCAGGUCCGACUACAUUCCUUCCAGCUUUGUGGAGGAGAUGCGUGAGAAGUUCAGGCGUUUGAAGCAGGGUGGCAAUUCCGUGUACAAGUACAACGUUGAGUUCCACGAGCUAGCCCGUUACGCCUUGUAGGAUAUCCCUGAUUAGAAGAGCAAGAUUUAUCAGUUCAGAGGUGGCUUGAAAGAAGAUUUGCAGUUAGCUCUGGCUUUGCACGAUCCUGAGAAGUUCAACAAGUUCUACAACUUAGCUCUCAGGGCAGAGGCAGCCUUGCUCAGGGUCGAAAAUUCUAAGAAGCGCUUCAGAGAUUCCAGCUCUUCCUCGACUCAGGUGGUUCAGAAGCAACAAAAGUUUUGGGUGUCUCCUCCUCCUCCUCGGCACUCGCAGCAGCUCAAGCACUCUGGUGGUCGUGGUUCUUCCCACCCACCCAACCAUGUCUUCCAACAGAGAUUCUAGCAUCAGAAGCAAGGGCCUCCUUAGACUCAGUACCGGCAGCCAGCAGAGGUGACUUGUCACAAGUGUUGUCAGAAGGGUCAUUAUGCCAACAAGUGUACUUCUCAGCUGUGACUGCCGCCUCCUCCUCCAGGCAAACCUCCAAGGAAUGCCCUUGUCAAGUUCAACCCCAUAUCAGCUUGAGUCAACAUGGUGAAUGCAGCUGAGGCAGAAAACUCGUCAGAUGUGAUCAUGGGUAACCUCCUCGUCAAUGAUAUUCCUGCUAAAGUGUUAUUUGAUUCUGGUGCUUCGCAUUCGUUCCUCUCCAUUCCAUUUGCAUCCAAGCAUAAUGUUCCUGUUAAAGAGCUUCCUAGUCCGUUGUCAGUAGUUUCUCCAGGCAAGUUCAUGCAUGCUAGUACUCGUGCUCCCGAUGUUUCUGUCAAGUUGGGCAGUUAUUCCUUUCUGGCUUCUCUAUAUGUCUUGGGCAAGACCGACAUCUACUUGAUCCUUGGUAUCGACUAGUUGGCCAUGAACAAGGCAUGGAUUGAUUGUGAAGCUAAAGAAGUGAAGCUUACCCACUCUUCGGAGGACGUGAUUAUAUUCACGGCGCGCGAUGAUACAAUCCGUCUGUUCUGUUUGAAUGAAAAGGAUGAGAUUAAUCCUAUUUUGCAAGUCCAAGUGGUCUGCGAAUAUGAAGAUGUGUUUCCUAAAGAGCUGCCAGGCAUGCCUCCGCACAGAGAAGUUGAGUUUGUGAUUGAGCUUGAGCCAGGCACCAAGCCGGUGUGCAAACAGCCGUACAAAUUGGGUCCAGAAGAGUUGAAGGAACUUAAGAGGCAACUCGAUAGGAGCGUUUGGGUCUGAUCAGGCCGAGCUCGUCUCCGUGGGGCUGUGGAGUUCUGUUUGUCAAGAAGAAGUAUGGCACGGACCGACUGUGUGUCGAUUACCGCCCAUUGAACAAGAAGACAAUCAGGAACAAAUAUCCACUUCCGAACAUAACUGAGUUGUUCGAACAGUUGAAAGGUGCUAAGGUCUUCUCCAAGCUUGAUCUCAGAAUGGGCUAUCAUCAAAUUCACAUUCGCGAAGAAUAUAUUCCGAAGACUACCUUCAGGACUAGUUUUGGCUCGUAUGAGUAUACGGUCAUGUCUUUUGGUCUGCAAAAUGCUCCUCCGACAUUCUGUCGAUUGAUGAACUACAUAUUCUGUCCGUUCAAGAAUGACUUUGUCUUGCUCUAUCUCGACGACAUUCUGGUCUUUUCUGAAACUCACGAAGAACAUGAAGAACAUCCCAAAUUGGUGCUUGAUAAGCUGAGAGAGUACAAGUUGUAUGCCAAGUUUUCCAAGUGUGAGUUCCGGCUGAAAGAAGUAGUUUAUCUUGGUCACAUUAUCUCUGCCGAUGGGCAUUAAAGUUCAUCCGUCCAAAGUUCAGGCCAUUGUUGAAUGGGAGCCUCCGCAGAAUAUGAAGCAGCUUCGAAGCUUUCUCGGGCUUGUAGGCUAUUGUAGAAGGUUCGUUGAGAACUUCUCCAAGAUCGCCAAGCCGCUCUCAAGUCUUCUUCAGAAAGGUCUGAAAUAUUCUUGGUCUCCAGAGUGUCAGUUGGCCUUCGACACACUCAAAGAGAAGCUUACCUCCACUCCAGUCUUGGUUCCUCCGGAUGAUUCCAAGCCUUACCAGGUCUUCUGCGACGCUUCUCUCAAGGGUCUUGGUGCAGUCCUGAUGCAAGACAAGGAAGUGGUUGCUUAUACCUCUAGGCAGUUGAAGCCAGCGGAGAAGAACUAUCAUGUGCAUGAUCUUGAGCUAGCAGCUGUGGUACACACUCUGAUGACUUGGAGACACCUCUUGUUGAAACGUAAGGUUGAAGUUUUCACCGAUCACAAGAGUCUCAAGUACAUCUUCACUCAGCCUAACCUGAAUCUUCGGCAAACAUGUUGGGUGGAAAUGCUCCAGGAUUUUAAUCCGAGUGUUUAGUACACGCCAGGCAAAGCUAAUGUCGUGGCAGAUGCCUUGAGCAGAAAGGCAUACUACAACAGUUUGAUUCUGCAACCUCUCCAGCCUGGUCUUUGUGAGUCUCUCAGGAAGCUCAACCUUCAGCUAGUACCUCAGGGAUUUCUUGCAAACCUUCAGAUCUCUCCUACCUUGGAAGAUCAGGUCCGAGCAGCACAACUUCUUGACGCUAUGGUGAAGAAAGUCAAGAUUGGCGUGGCAAAGAGUCUUCCCAAGUAUAAGUGCUUCACUGUUGAUGUCAGAGACACGUUGUUCUUCGAGGAUCGCCUUGUCGUCCCGAAAGGUGAUCUCAGAAAGGUAAUCAUGGAGGAAGCUCAUAACUCUCUGCUCUCUAUUCAUCCUGGAAGCUCCAAGAUGUACCACGACUUGAAACAGACCUUCUGGUGGACUCGUAUGAAGCGUGAGAUUGCUCAGUUCGUAAAUGAAUGUGAUGUAUGUCGAAGGGUGAAAGCACAGCAUCAACGUCCAGCAGGUCUUUUGCAUCCAUUGCCCAUUCCCGAGUGGAAGUUCAAUCACAUUGAGAUGGAUUUCUUCACCGGGUUUCCGAAGUCCAAGAAGGGUAAUGAUGCCAUCUUCAUCGUCAUCCACAAGUUGAGUAAAGUGGCUCAUUUUCUUCCAGUCAAGGAAUCCAUUUCAGCAGCUGAGCUUGCAGAGUGGUACACCUCCAUGACUGUGUCCUUGCACGGUGUGCCUAUGAUCUCUUUGGAUCGCGGAAGUAUCUUCACUUCCAAGUUCUGGGACUCUUUUCAGUCUGCUAUGGGCACGAAGAUCCGCUUCAGCACAGCGUUUCAUCCUCAGACUAGUGGUCAAGUGGAGCGAGUCAAUCAAGUUCUUGAGGAUAUGCUGAGAGCCUGUGUUAUCUCUUUUGGCAUGAAGUGGGAAGAUUGUUUGCCUUUUGCGGAGUUCUCAUAUAACAACAGUUAUCAAGCUAGUUCUGGCAAGACUCUGUUUGAAAUCUCUAUGGCAGGAAGUGUCGUACCCCGCUCAACUGGUCCGAGACCGGCGAGCGUCAGAUCCUUGGGAAUGAUUUGAUAGAAGAAGCUGAGGAGAUGUGUCGGGUCAUUCGCGACAACCUCAGAGCAGCUCAGUCCCGUCAGAAGAGCUAUUAUGAUAGCAAGCACCGUGACAUGUCUUAUGAGCUUGAUGACUUCGUCUAUCUCAAGGUGUCUCCUAUGAAGGGUAUGCAGCGCUUUGGCAUCAAAGGCAAGCUUGCGCCUCGUUUCGUUGGUCCGGUCAGAGUGGUUGGCAAGAGAGGCGACCUUGCGUACCAGCUCGAUCUCCCGUCAAACUUUGCAAAUAUCCAUGAUGUGUUCCAUGUUUCUCAGCUUCGGAGGUGCUUCAAGACCCCCGAGUGCACUGUUCAUCUUCAAGACAUCGACCUUCAGCCUGACCUUUCUUAUCGUGAGCAUCCAGUUGCGGUUCUCGAGGCGACUGAGCGCAAGACCCGCAACAAGACCGUCAAAUUUCUCAAAGUGCAAUGGUUACACCAUUCCGAUAAAGAGGCUACUUGGGAACGCGAGGAUCACCUCCGUUCUGAAUUUUCGGAGUUCUUUCAGGCGUAGAUCUUGGGGCGAGAUCUUUUUGUAGUGUGGGAAGUUUGUAAUGCCCCAAAUGUGUAACCUUCCCUAUUUGGAAACCUUCUUAUGUGGGACCACCUUGUCAAUGCUAUGAGAGAGUUCAUGCUCAUGAUUUCAUGUGAUGUCCCUUGUAUUUCUUCCUUGCAUGCAUGCAUAACAUAUCAUAUAUUUUCCUUGUCCUUGUGAUGUUGCAUUGUGUUCUUAUGAUUUCAUGUGAUGCUUGUGUUCUUAUGUGGUGAAGUGAGAUGUGAAGUUUGUGUGGAGAUUGCAUGUGAUAGUAGGAUUAGAAGUGGUUUGCAUAGCCUUCAAAAUCUAUCUCCCUCCUAUUUAUUUCAAGCCCAUAUCUUCUUGCCUCUUUCCUGAUUCAAAAAUGCUCAUGUGUUAGCUUUGAUUUGUGGUGAAUGAGAGAUGUGAUUUGUUGUUUUUGAAUGGGUGUUUAAAAGGUGCAAACAAUUACAAAACAAACCCUACAAUGGUUGUUUUGUAAAAUAUUUACUUGCUCCUAAACUCUUGUUUCUAUUUUUAUUAAAUAGGUCUUGCUUUUACAUGUCCAGGCAAGUGCUAUUUUUGUUUUUGCACUUGUAUAUUUCCUUGUGCAUUUCUUUUCCUCUCUGUUUAUUUCUGUAAAUAGGAAACCAGGGAAUUCUUUUCCCUCUAUCUGGCGCUAGUAGUGGGCUUACUCCCACUAGCAGGCCCAUCUUCCCUCCUCUCUUUCUCUCGCAGCCCAGCUUCCCACUUGCCCCUGUAGACGGUGUCAUGUUCACCCCCUUCCUCCGUCAGCUCUCUUCAGCCUUGCGGGUUCAGAGCAACGGCAUCAGACGUCGUCAUGGACAUCGAGGAGCGUCCCUCGCCCCUCUACUUCAUAAAAGGAGCCCCCCUUGGCGUCCGUGCAGAUAGGGUUUCCCCUCUCGCGCCGCCACCACCAUUUCCUUGCCAUCUCUCUCUCUGUCGUCGAGCUUCACGUAAGGGGAUCAGUCCCUCCGCCAUGGCCGAGAGUUGAGGAACUCCCCGUCGUCGCGCCCGUGCCUCUUCUUCCCCUCCGACGACUCGACGAGCACGCGGGAACCUCUAGGGAUCCAUCCCGGCGGCUAGGACGUCAAGAUCUCCCCUGCUUCCUCUUUUCCACGACGGCGGCUUCCUUCCCCGACGAGCAUCCUCGAUCGGUUGAUUCCCGCUUCUUCCCCUGCUACCUCUCCGACCAGGACCGGGAUCUUCUUUCAUUGGGUGAGCAGAUCCUCCUCUUCCCCCUUCCCUGUCUUAGAGCAUGUGUAGCAGCCGUAGCGUCGCCGCCGUGCUGCUCCCUAUCGCCAGCGCCGCCGCGCAUCGUAGAGGUGUGGCUGUGGUGCUUCUCGAGUAGGUCUAGCUAGGGAGAUGGAACCGUGGAUGCGUCGACGUCCUUCCAUCAACGAGUCGGUGCUCGAUUUAGCUUCUUUCACAGGCGGGAUAGCUCCCCUGUUCCGUCUGCCGUGGAUCAGAUGUGGAUCCCGAAGGGGUGCUCAACAGAGCAGACCCCCCUUCUCUGUCAGACUCCCGUUCGUAGCGUAGUGGUAGCGUGCUAUUGUUGCCUGUUGAGAGGUCGCGGGUUCGAAUCCCCCUCGGCAACCUUUUUGCUUUAUUUCUUUGGCACAGUGGAGGCAGGGUAAACCAUACCCUGUUAGCACACUCUCUCUGGUCGAACCAGUGGCCGUAGCAGAGUGGUGUGGCUAUGUGUGUUGUGUGUGGGUUCGACCCCAGCACCUCCCCUUUUUAUUUUCCCUUUGUUUUCUUUUAUUUUUUCCCUUUGCUGUUUAGAUAUCUAUGCAGCCCCUGUUCUUGUAGCUUUGUAGUGAUUUGUACUUGAGGGUUUACAUGUUUACCUCCUCUCAAAACCAGCAUGGGAGUUAUGCAUGUUGCUAGCUUUGUGAACCCAUGAGGUGCACUUGUGGUGUAGUGUGUGUGUUGACACAUAUGCAUGUGUAUGUGUGGGCAAGUGGUAUGAGAUGUGGUGUGAUCUAAGUGUUUGUAUGUGUGUGUGUGCAUGUGGUGUGGCUCACACACAUGCCCAAGGCAUGAGGUGCCUUGAUGAGCACAGGUUUGCAAGUUAGCAUGUGUUGUGUAGAAGUAUCUAUGUGAGUAGUGCCAUCUAUUUAGUUAUGUAGGAGUUGCAUCUAUGUUGUGCUUGUCCCAUGUGAUGGUGUGGUGAUGUGCCAAUGCACAUAGGCAUGAGGACUACCUCUCAUGUACCCCCAUUGGUGUUGUGGUCAUGUGCAAGAGCUUGUGUAGGUUUUGUUCUAGUGAAUAGCACAUGUGAUGAUGCACUAUUCACUAGAUGGGAUUCAUGUAGAUUUCACUUCCUAGUUUGUGCUCAUUUGUUCCAAGCAAGUGCAUAAGUAUUCUAUAUGCUUUUGGGGUAUAAAGAUCCCAGGAAUCUAUUGGUGAAGUCAUUUUUGCCUUUGGAACAUUUUCUGGAGAUGACAUAUUUCAGUUUUAUUCCAUGUUUAGAGCUUGGUUCCAUGUGAUGUGGUGAGCCCAAGGGUUUGCUUCUUGGUUGUGGUAGUAGAGGGUGACCCCCUCUACCACAUGUUGGUUUCAUUCCAUGUUUAGGAAUCCAUAUGUGCAAGUUGUGCCCAAUCAAACUAGGCAUGUGGCUGAAAUUCCAGAUUAGUGCUAAGUCUGAGAAUCUGUUUAUAUUUUCUUCUCAUGUUGAUGAGGUUGUGCAGAUCAAUGUGUUGUGAUCUAGCCUUAGCUUUCAACUGGAAAGUUGAAGAUGAUAUGUUUGUCUAGAUCCUUAUAAAUUUUCUUUCCAUUUGGAGUCAUGUAGAUAUUGUUUUGACUGCUGUCAAAAUGCUUCAAAGCAUAGACAGAAAGUGAGAAUCUGGAAUUUUCACAAAGUCCCUGAAAUCUGAUAUUUUUGGGCAAGUUUGUAGCCUUGUAACUUUCUGUGUUUAACUCCUUUGUGUGGGAUUCUUGCUUGUGCUUGUAGGAAUCUCGGAUAGCUACAGCCACAUAUCUUAUUUGGCAUGUUUAGGUGGUUGUAGGUGCUUUGCAUGUAGCUCACAAAGUGCUAUGAUGCAGUUUAUGGCAGAUUGCGUAGUUUUGGCAUUUUGAUGAUGGUGAGUGCUUAGUUGAUGAUGUGUUGUUCUUAUCUGCUCCACCCCAUCCAUGUUGCAUUGUUUUAUCUCUUGGCUACUUGGAUAUACCAUAAUUGAGCCAUUGGAGUGUGUUGUGGUGAAUUUGACACGUAGGGCUUCAUAUCUUGUUUUGUUGGUUCCCGUAGAUCCGUAGUUCCUAUUGUAAUGUUCUUUAUAUGGUUUUGCAUCGUUUUCUCGAUAUGCAUCUGAUCAUGUCAUUCUCAUGCAUGUAAAUAUAGCUUAGAAUGCAUUUCUGUCCAGGAACAUGUAUUUACUUCUCAUGCUUGUGCUAGUGAUAGAAAUAGUGAUGCAUGCUCAUAUUCAUCUCAUGCAUCAUGUGCUUGUUGCAUCUUGAGGUGCUGUUGUUUAUUGGAUGUGAUUCUUAUCUUGGGUAGCACCGGGAUCGAAGAACGAGUACGUGGAUUCGGGAGAGUACGUGCAGGACGAUCAAGAACUGUUCCAAGCUGAGGAUAUCACAGGCAAGAUGAUAUGACCUUGAUUCCAUCUCUAGACUUAUUAUGCUAGAUUACGUUUCUUCCAUCAUAUGCUCACUGCCUACCACUGAAAUAUUUGCCUCCUGGUAUGCCAUGAAACCCAAACACUUAUCCCUUCCUAGCAAAUCUUGAAUGGCUAAGUAGGCUUUGCUCAACUACUAAUGUUAGAGUUGCUAGAUGCAGGUGCUUUGCCUCAUGUGAUAACAUGAGCUUGAUAUCAUUAUAUUAAUUCGUUAUUUAAUUAAUGCACCUAUAUACUUGGUAAAUAACAGAAGGCCUAGCCUUUUGCCGGGUGCUUUGUUCCGUUAUUGCCGCCAUAGUUACCGGCUACCGGUGUUUGAUUCCAUAUUAUUCGCUCCUAACACGUUCGGGGUUGUAUGGGGACCCCCUUGAUAAAUCGCGUAGUGUUAAGACUUGUCCGGAAGGACCCAACAUUGGUUUUAAUCUGCUAAUCACUUAAUAAUAAUAUGAAUAGGGAAUAGCUACCCCGAGGAAUUUAAUCAACAACCCGGGCCAGUGCUCCUCAUGAGUGUUGGUCCCACCUGAGCGAUGUCCAGGGCCCCACUGGUCACCCAGAGGUUUAGCCAUCCCGACGUCUAGCUCAUCCGUUGUGUCCUGAGACUGAGAUACGCGGCUCUUAUAAGGGUCAUCGACACGACGGGAGGUCCUGCUAGUCUUGUCUUACCUUAGCGAUAUAUCUUGCGUAUAGGAAUCCCGGUGAAGCUUUGGUUCUCCCCAAAGUUGAGGUUUUCCUCUAAGGAAUCCGACGAUAUCACGAAAUUCAUGAUAGAGGAUUACUUUGCGGCCCGUGUACGUUUGUGAUGGACUAGUUGGAGCACCCCUGCAGGGUUUAAUAUUUCGGAAAGUCGUGCCCGCGGUUAUGUGGCAACUUGGAAUAUUUUGUUAACAUCCGGUAAUAGAUAACUUAAACAUAAGCUAAUAAAAUUGCCAACUGUGUGCGUAACCGUGACUGUCCCCUUCGAAGAUCUCUCUUCGAUCGGGAACACGGUGGUGUUAUGAUUGACGUAGGUAGGUGUUUAGGAUCACUUAGUGAUCAUCUAUCAUCGACCGCUAGUAUAGACCACCUUCAUAUAUGUUCUACGUAAGUUAGCCACCAUACCAAGCAUAGGAUGCUGCAACCUAAAUACUCCACCUGUCCAACCUAAUAACUUGACUAGUUCUGGCACCGAGGUCAUAGAUUGCUGAGUCCCCAUGGCUCACAGAUUCCUUCACGACACCAACAUGUUCAGGUACCCCCGAGACAGGUGAUCCCGACGGCACGCAGCUGGCGUGGCAGUAUGAUGAGGAGAACGACCGCAUGUACGUGAACUAUCCAGAAGAUUGAGGCGUGGUCGUGAUCGUGGGCCAGCAGGCAGGGUAGCAUAGUCAUUUCCCUUGUUUUGUAGUCCGUAGCGGAACUACCUUGUUUGCAUGCGUGAUGUAACUCUGAUAUAUUAAUGAGAUGACAGUUGAAUCCCUUAUUGUCAUUCCUCUACUGUUUAUGUAUGUGCUAUGUUACCAUGUUUGCGAAACGCUUAGAUGCGCUUCUUUCCAAUUUGGGGCCUCGAUCCCCAGAUCGGAAAGGACCGCAUCUUAGUCGUUACACGGCAGGGCACCACAACGUGCCCCAGAUGGGAUCUUGCAGAGACAGAAGCUUGCGGCGGCGGAAAAGUAUUUUCGUUGAUCUCCCUGGCAGGUUUGGAAUUUUUCUGGAUUUAUAGGCGGAAGAGGUAGGGCAGACGUGCCAUAGGGGGCCCACAAGCCUGCUAGGCGCGGGACUCCCUGGCUGCGCCUAGGGGGCUUGUGGGGUCCCCUGCUGGCCCUUGCCUUGGUUCUCAAGUCUGACGCGUAUCUUCUGUUUCAGAAAAAAUCUUUUCAGAAGUUUUAUUCCGUUUGGACACCGUUUAAAAUCCUCCUCUAAAAAGGGUCAAAAACACGGAAAAAACAGGAACUGGCACUUGGCACUGAGUUAAUAAGUUAGUCCCAAAAAAGAUAAAAAAGGCAUACGAAACAUCCUAAGUUUGACCAGAUAAUAGCAUGGAACCAUAAAAAAUUAUAGAUACAUUGGAGACGUAUUAGUCAUCUGCUUGGUACCCGACUUAGCCGCUGGCGCAGAUUUGUCCGUCGCCACGGACUGCUUCUUGAAGAAGAAAAGCUUGCGCCAUAGGUACAGGCGGGGUUCAAUCCCUAUGAAUCCCUCACACAGGACGACGAAGGCGGCAAGCUGGAGGACGGCAUUGGGCACCAAGUUGUGCGGCUGCAGACCGAAGAAAGUCACAAAGCGUGAGAAGAAGUUGCUCGCCGGAAGCCCGAAGCCGCGGUAGAAGUGUUACUCGAACAGCACCACCUCACCUUUUCCGGGGGUCGGGGCUGCUUCGGCGCCGGGCACCCGUGCCGACACGAGGUCCGCUGGAGGAAGCACGCGGCGGUGGCCUAGUGCCUCGAUGUGCUCGACGCUGACUUCGCUGCCCACCCACGCACCUCCAGACUGCCCCUUCUUGGGGGCGCUGCUAGACAUGGUGGGGUGGUGGCGAGGAGUGAGACGGAGUCCCGGCGGCGAACUGCGGUGACGGCACAAACAGCGGCGAAGGCGAGCAACGCUCUCUUCUUUCUGUGGCUCAGGGAAGGAAGGGUCGUUUGUGCGGGGCGAUAAGGGGGCAAAUGGCCUCCUCGACGCCCCCGCACACCAUUUAAACCCUCCUAAAGAUCGUGGGGGGAUUCGGUGCACACGAUCCCCACCUCCUUCGAUUAAUGCGGGAGGAUCUAUGCUCCUCAGAACCCAACCGCCGCGGGGUGAUCCGUAGAAGAUCCGCGUGCGCGUGGGCCGAGGAGGCAUAGUGGCGGGACUGAUACGUCUCAAAUGUAUCGACUUUUCCAAACACUUUUGCUAUUGUUUUGGCCUCAUUCUUGCAUGAUUUGAAUGGAACUAACCCGGACUGAUGCUGUUUUCAGCAGAGCUGCCUGUAUGGUUUUCUUGUGUGCAAGAAAAUGGAUAUUUAGACGUCCUGGAAAAUUCCCAGCAAAAAUAGAGAAAAUCCACUCACCGGGAGGGACCAUGGGCCAGAAGAUGGGCCAGAGGGGAGCCACAGCCCCCCCAGGCAACCUGCUGGCGCGGCCUGCCCUCUGGCCGCACCAGGAGGCCGCCUGGGUGGGGCCCACCCCCUUUGGUGCCCUACUCUGGCUCCUAUUUUUACCCGUGACGAGGAAAUUCCAGAAUAGAAGUCGUUUUGCAAGUUCUCAACGCGGAGUCGCCGCCACCCUUGGUUCUUCUUCGGGAGGGCUAAUCACUACUGGAAUCAGAGAAUUUCCCAUAUGUCUGAUCUUUGUCGUCUGCUGGCACAUGGCAAAGAAGCUCUUUGCCGUCAUCUCCCAAAAAACAGACGGCAAAGAGCUGGCUGAUGCCAAAGAUACUCUUUGCCAUUAGUGCAUUCUUUACCGUUGGCUGGCGGACGGUAAAGAUGGACCGGGCUAACGACAAAGCACAGAUUGAUGGCAAAGAUGGUCCAGGCAGACGGCAAAGAAUCACCGCAACUAGAGCCGUCCCCUUUGCCAUCAGGGGCCUAUUUGCCGUCUCCACACACCCCCUUUGUCGUCUGCCUCAAACUCUUUGUUGUCAGCUUGAUUCCCAAGCGAACGGCAAAGAGGACGGCCACUAACGGCUGACAUCCAUCUCCCCACCCCCCAUGUGCCCUCUCCCCCGAUCCCCACUCUCUCUCUCUCACCAAUCCACACCUCUCUGCCUCUCCUCCCCGCAUCGCCACACCACCACCACCGCGUCGCGCCCCUCCCGGCGUCCUCCAACCCCCUCCCCUCCCUCCCCGACCCAAUCCAGAGAUCGAGGUCCUCGAGAGCAAGUCAAGCGGCAGCCAUGGCUCGUCCAGAUCAGCCAGUACCGACAUAGUCGGUCUCCUCUACUCCCAGCGCCGGAUCCACCUCGGGCAGGCUCCAUCUCCACAUCCGGUGACCUCUCCUCCCCACCAUCAUUGCCUCUCCACCCCACCUCCCCAUCUUCUCGAGCAGUUCAGGCGCCGCCCGCAUCCGCCCAAUCUUCCUCCUUCCAGGUUGCUGUGAAGGAGCCACUGUAGUGGGACAACAUCGUACCAAGCACCGCCGGCUGGAUCCGCGUCUAAUCCCCACUCCGGCUGCACCGCUGCCUAAAACCCUAGCCCUCCCACACAUGACCAUGACCAUGGAGAGCCCGCACGAGGUGCAGUAGCUCAUGUCAGGUCCAUUUUCUCCUCUGCUUACUUUUGUUGCGAAUGGGUGGGUGCUUACUUUUAGAAUGUGCCUUACUCUUGAUCUCAAUGUUCCAUGAGAUAGGACUGCAUGUGAGGCUAGAUCUAUAGGCAUCGAUGAUUCUUCUAAUAAGCUAAAAUGGUUUGAAUAAAUCUGGCUGGUUUUUGACUAAAUAUGUUUACAAUUGAUUAGAAAAACAUUUAACUCAUGCUUAUAAUGGUUGGAUUUGGAAGCCUACCAUUCCUCUUAAAAUCAAACUUUACAUGUGGCAAUUGUUUUGUAACGCUAUAGUUACUAGAGUUAAGCUAAAAAGGGAAAUGGGUUGAUAAUCCUAUGUGCUCUUUUUGCAAUGUUCCUGAAGAUGCUCAACAUAUGUUUUUCUAGUUAUGGGAUUGCUAAGUCGGUUUAAGGCGCUAUCAGAAGGGUGAUCGAUACUAAUAUCUAUCCUAGAAACUUGUGGUAGAGUUUUGCUUGGCUCUAUGCUUUCUUGCAUGGUGGGAAAAAUAUUAUAUGGUGUGUGUCGCUACUAUGUGCUGGGGGUUUUGACCCUUAGAAACAAGAUAACAUUUGAGAAUCAUGUUAUGUGUUCCCCUAUGGAGGAUAUCUUCACCAUUUGUUCAUUUAUGUUACUCAGCAGGUCUUUGAAAAGAUGCUCACAAAGAAGUGUUCAAGGGAGUGUGUAGGUGCUAACGAAAUAAGAAACGACACUCGCUCGUGAGAUGAAGCCUAUGACACAUCCAUUUUAUCCUGUGCUACAGUACUUUGCUGUUGCAAUGCAUUCAGAAAUAAAUAAACUUCUUUCCUUGCUUUCCUUACAACAUUCACAAAUUAAAUUGAUUUCAUAUGUUGGGUGGAUGGAACUAGUCUUGUGAUGAUUUCCUCUGUUGCAAAAUGUUUUGUGCUUGCUUGCAUUCACAAAUGGUUGGAUCCUCUGCUAACGUGUACUCGAUGGUCAUGUCUUUUCUUUUACCCAAGCAGCAACUUAACGACGCUCGGGUCUAGCGUGGCACCUAGUUUUAUUCAUGUAUCACUCCUUUGAUUUCCUACAAAUCAUUAUUCUUCUGAUAACUGGGAAAUUAAUAUAUGUACAUGUGUACAUUCUACCUCUUGAGCUUGCAUUGGUUUUUCCCUUGAAGAGGAAAGGGUGAUGCAGCACAGUAGCAGUAAGUAUUUCCCUCGGUUUGAGAACCAAGGUAUCAAUCCAGUAGGAGUAUCAAGCCAAGUCUCCAAAGUACCUGCACAAAAACAGCAAACUUCCACCCAACGCUACAAAGGGGUUUUCAAUCCCUUCACGAUUGAUUGCAAGAUGAGAUCUGAAGGCGGAAAGUGCAACAAAGUAAAAGUGUAGGGCUAAAAUAUGAUGUGAAGUAGACCCGGGGGCCAUAGUGUUCACUAGAGGCUUCUCUCAUGAUAGCAAAUAUUACUGUGGGUGAACGAAUUACUGUCAAGCAAUUGAUAGAACCGCGCAAAUUCAUGAUGAUAUCUAAGGCAAUGAUCAUACAUAUAGGCAUCACAUCCGAGACAAGUAGAUCGAUACUUUCUGCAUCUACUACUAUUAGUCCACACAUCGACCGCUAUCCAGCAUGCAUCUAGUGUAUUGAGUUCAUAACAAACAGAGUAACACCUUAAGCAAGAUGACAUGAUGUAGAGGGAUAAAUUCAUGCAAUAGAUAUAAACCCCAUCUUUUUACCCUUGAUGGCAACAACACGAUGCGUGCCUCGCUACCCCUUCUAUCACUUGGUGAGGACACCGCACGGUAUGAACCCAAAACCGAGCACUUCUCCCAUUGCAAGAACUGUAGAUCAAGUUGGCCAAACAAAACCCACAACUCGAAGAGAAUUACAAGGAUAUGAAAUCAUGCAUAUAAGAGAUCAGAAGAAACUCAAAUAAGAUUCAUAGAUAAUCUGAUCAUAAAUCCACAAUUCAUCGUAUCUCGACAAACACACCACAAAAGAAGAUUACAUCGGAUAGAUCUCCAUGAAGAUCAUGGAGAACUUUGUAUUGAAGAUCCAAGAGAGAGAAGAAGCCAUUUAGCUACUAGCUAUGGACCCGAACGUCUGUGGUAAACUACUCACGCAUCAUCGGAGAGGCCAUGGUGUUGAUAAAGAAGCCCUCCGUGUCUGAAUCCCCCCUCCGACAGGGCACCAAAACGUGCCCCAGAUGGGAUCUUGCAGAGACAGAAGCUUGCGGCCGCGGAAAAGUAUUUUCGUGGAUCUCUCUCGUGGUUUUAGAUUUUUUGGGGAUUUAUAGGCGGAAGAAGUAGGGCAAGGGAGCCACGGGGGCCCACAAGCCUGCUAGGCGGACCCCCCCUCCUCACCCAGGUCGCGGCUAGGUGGCUUGUGGCCUCCCCUGGUGCCCUUUGCCUUGGUUCUCAAGCUCCCUGCGUAUCUUCUGUUCCGGAAAAAAUAUUUUCGGAGGUUUUAUUCCGUUUGGACUCCAUUUAAUAUUCUCCUCUAAAAAAGGUCAAAAACAUGGAAAAAACAGGAACUGACACUUGGCACUGGGUUAAUAAGUUAGUCCCAAAAAAUAUAUAAAAUGCAUACAAAACAUCCAAAGUUUGACAAGAUAAUAGCAUGGAACCAUCAAAAAUUAUAGAUACGUUGGAGACGUACCAAGCAUCCCCAAGCUUAACUCCUGCUCGUCCUCGAGUAGGGAAGUGAUAAAGACUGAAUUUUUGAUGUGGAAUGCUACCUAGCAUAUUUGUCCUUUGUAACUUUUUUCAUGUGACAUGAAUGUUCAGAUCCGUAAGAUUCAAAACAAUAGUUUUCUAUUGACAUGAAAACAAUAAUACUUCAAGCAAACUAGCAAGGUAAUCAUGAACUUUCGAAAUAACAAGGCCAAAUAAAGUUAUCCCUACAAAAUCAUAUAGUCUGGCUAUGCUCCAUCAUCCCCAAACAACGAUUUUAAAUCAUGCACAACCUCGGUAUUGUCCAAGUAAUUGUUUUCACACUCUUACUUUCUCAAACCUUUUUCAACUCUCACGCAAUACAUGAGCGUGAGCCAUGGAUAUAGCACUAUAGGUGGAAUAUAGUGUGGUGGAGGUUGUGAGGCAAAAGGGAGGAGAUGGUCACAUUGGCUCGGCGUAUCAAAGGGCUAUGGAUAUGCCCAUCAAUAGAUAUCAAUGUGAAAGAGUAGGUAUUACCAAGCAACGGAUGCACUUAGAGCUAUAAAUGUGUGAAAGCUCAAAAGGAGAACUAGUGGGUGUGCAUCCAACUUGCUUGCUCACGAAGACCUAGGGCAAUUUUGAGGAAGCCCAUCAUUGGAAUAUACAAUCCAUGUUAUAUAAUGAAAAUUCCCACUAGUAUCUGGUAGUGACAAAACAAGAGACUCUCAAUCAUGAAGAACAUGGUGCUAUUAUGAAGCACAAGUGUGGAAAAAGAUAGUAGCAUUGUCCCUUCUCUCUUUUUCUCUCUCUUUUUUGGGCUCUUCGGCCUCUUUUUCAUAUAUUUUUUGGUGGGCAACUUUGGCCUAUUUUCAUUUUUCCUCACAUGGGACAAUGCUCUAAUAAUGAUGAUCAUCACACUUUUAUUUACUCACAGCUCAAUGCUUAGGACAAUGAUGACUAUAGGAAAUGCCUCGUGUAGUGUACCAGGAUGUGCAACGAUCUAGCUUAGCGUAUGACUCACUAGCUAUCUUACGAUCAUGCAAUGGCAAUAUAAAAGUGAUGGCACAUGUCAUGAGACGAAACGGUGGGAGUUGCAUGGCAAUAUAUCUCAGAAUGGCUAUGAAAAGGCCAUGAUAGGUAGGUAUGGUGGCUGUUUUGAGGAAGGUCUAUGGUGGUUUUAUGUACCGGCUAAAGUUGCGCGGCACUAGAGAGGCUAGCAAUGGUGGAAGGUGAAAGUGCAUCUAUACAAUGGACUCACAUUAGUCAUGAAGAACUCACAUACUUAUUGUGGAAGUUUUUAUUAGUAAUCGAAACAAAGUGUUAAACGCAUACUCCUGGGGGAAGGGUUGGUAGGUGUUAACCAUCGUGCGAUCCCGACCGCAACACAAAGGAUGACAAUCAAUAAAUCAAUUAUGCUCCGACUUCCUAACAUAGCGAUUCACCAUACGUGCAUGUUACGGGAAUCACUAACUUCAACACAAGUAUUGCUAGAUUCGCAACACCCUACUAACAUGACUCUUAAUAUUACCAAAUCCAUGUCUCAAAACUAAUUGAGAGGAAUCAAACUUCUCUUUCUAAUCAAUGCACAUGAAUAUGGAAGUUUUAUUGUAUCCUCUUUGGAUGCCUAUCAACUUUAGGACUACUUUCAUAGCACAAGCCAACUACCAAGUUACUCAGAGAGAGCACUCUCAAAAAGAUAUAAGUGAAGAUCGAGAGUUCUUAUUUCUCCAAGAUAUGACACCGUCAUGCUCUAAAAUAUAUAAGUGAAGCACUUAGAGCAAAGUUAUCUAUCUCAAAAUAUAUAAGUGAAGCACAUGUGAGCUAAAUUGCCUAACUCAAAAGAUGUAAGCGAAGCUCAAUGAGUAUUCUAGCAAAUUUACGAUGAGUGCAUGUCUCUCUCAAAAGGUGUGCAGCAAGGAUGAUUGUGACACAACAAAAAUAAAAUACUCCUAUAAUACACGACGCUCCAAGCAAAACACAUAUCAUGUGGUGAAUAAAAAUAUAGCUCCAAGUAAUGUUACCGAUGGAUUGAAGACGAAAGAGGGGAUGCCUUCCCGGGGCAUCCCCAAGCUUAGGCUUUUUGGUGUCCUUGAAUUUGGCUUGGGAUGCCUUGGGCAUCCCCAAUCUUGAUCUCUUUACACUCUUUAUCCCAUUGUCCAUGAGAACAUCACCCAAAACUUGAAAACUUCACAACACAAAACUUAAACAGAAACUGGUGAUAUCAUUAGCACAAGAAAACAAACUACCACCUAUUUAGGUACUGUAGCAAACUUGAUUUCUAUUUAUAUUGGUGUUAUAUUACUGUAUUCUCACUUUUCCAUGGCUAGUACCCCCAAUACUAUCCAUAGUUUCAUCAAAAUAAGCAAUCAACAUAACAAAAACAGAAUCUGUCAAAAACAGACCAGUCUGUAGCAAUCUGUAUACUUCGUAUACUUCUGGUAUCUCAAAAAUUCUGAACAAUUAUUAAAAUUUGGGAAAUUGGCAUAUGAAACAGCAGCAAAAAUAAUCAACUCAAAAGCUCUUUCUGAAUAAAAAUGAAAGGGGGGGGGGGGGGGGAUAAUUUCGUGAGCGAAAAGUUUCUGUCUUUUUCAGCAAGAUCAAACAACCAUCACCAAAACUAGUCAUAAAGGUUUUACUUGGCUCAAACACAAAAAGAAACACAAAAAACACAAUCAUAACAGAACUAUGAUGGUGUGGACACAACAAAACAGAAUUAUGAUGGUGUGGACACAACAAAACAGAAAGCAAAAACCAAAGAUAAAUUCAUUGGGUUGCCUCCCAACAAGCGCUAUUGUUUAACGCCCUUAGCUAGGCAUAAGGCGAUAGAAUCACGUAUCGUUGUCUUUGGUACUCAAACCAUAAGUAGCCAUCAUCAUGGAUUCAUAAGGCAAUCUUAUUUUCUUUCUAGGAAAAUGUUCCAUGCCCUUCUUUAAUGGAAAUUGAAAUCUAAUAUUCCCUUCCUUCAUAUCGAUGACAGCACCAAUAGUCCUUAGGAAAGGUCUACCAAGAAUGAUAGGACAUGUUGGAUUGCAAUCAAUAUCAAGCACAAUGAAAUCUACGGGUACAUAGUUCCUAUUUGCAAUAAUAAGAACGUGAUUGAUCCUUCCCAUAGGUUUCUUAACAGUAGAAUCCGCAAGAUGCAAAUUAAGAGAGCUCUCAUCAAUCUCAUUGAAGCCUAGAACAUCACAUAAAGACUUUGGAAUAGCGGAAACACUAGCACCCAAAUCACACAAAGCAUUGCAUUCAUAGUUUUUGAUCUUGAUUUUGAUAGUAGAUUCCCACUCAUCAUGAAGUUUUCUAGGAAUAGGAACUUCCAAUUCAAGUUAUUCUUCAAGAGAUUUCAUCAUAGCAUCGACGAUAUGAUCGGUAAAGGCCUUGUUUUGGAUAUAAGCAUGUGGAGAGUUUAGCAUGGAUUGCAUCAAGGAAAUACAUUCAAUCAAAGAGAAACUAUCAUAAUUGAAUUCCUUGAAAUCCAAAGUAGUAGUUUCAUUACUACUCAAAGUUUUGAUAUCCUCUACUCCACUUCCAAUGUUUUUAGCAUCAAGAUAGAUAGACUCCGAAUCAUUGGGGCGUUUUUCAACCAAAGUGGAUUCAUAUCCAGCCCCAUCAUCAUUAGGUUUGACACUAUAAAACAAGGAUUCAAUGGGAGUCACACCAAGCACUUUAAGAUCUUCGUGAUUCUCAUCACGACAACACGCCUUUUUAACCCACUCAUGUCUAGCACGAAUUUGGGCGGUUGUUUCUUUACUCUCAUUCAUGGAAACAUGCAUAGCUUUCAAAGUUUCAUCAAUAUUGAUCUUGGGAGGAGCACAUCUCAAUUUCAAAGCAUCAAUAUCAAGAGACAUUCUAUCAACGCUCCUAGACAAAUCAUCAAUUUUGAGCAGUUUUCAUUCUAUGGAUGCAUUGAAAAUCUUUUGCAAGUUGAUAAACUCUUUAAUAUUACUCUCUAGAUCAGAGGGUAAUUUAUUGUAAUUUCCAUGAGCAUUGUUGUAGGAAUUGCCAAAGUUAUUAGAGGGAUUACUAGGAAAAGGCCUAGGAAUAUAGUUUCCUCUAAAAGCAUUGUUAUUGCCAAAAUUAUUCCUACCAACAAAAUUAACAUCCAAGCUCUCAUUGCUACUCUCAAUAAAAGAAGACAAGGGCAUGUCAUUUGGAUCUAAAGGAGCACCUUUACUAGCAAACAAUUUCAUUAACUCAUCCAUCUUAGCACUCAAAGAGUUAAUUUCUUCUAUAGCGUGCACUUUUUUACUAGUAGGUGUCCUUUCAGUGUGCCACUGAGAAUAGUUUGUCAUGAUAUUUUCUAGGAGUUUUGUGGCUUCUCCUAAAGUGAUUUCCAUGAAAGUUCCACUGGAGGCGGAGUCCAAGAUAUUUCUAGAAGUAAAAUUCAAACUAGCAUAGAAGAUUUGUAUAAUCAUCCAAAGACUCAAGCCAUGAGAGGGACAAUGUCUAAUCAUCAAUUUCAUUCUCUCCCAAGAUUGUGCAACAUGUUCAUGAUAUAGUUGCUUAAAAUUCAUGAUAUCAUUACGGAGAGAGAUAAUCUUAGCCGAUGGAAAAUACUUGGAUAUAUAAGCAUCUUUGCACUUGUUCCAAGAAUCAAUGCUAUUUUUGGGCAAAGAUGAAAACCAAGUUUUUGCUCGAUCUCGCAAUGAGAACGGAAAUAGCUUCAAUUUAAUCACAUCAUUAUCCACAUCUUUCUUCUUUUGCAUAUCGCAUAACUCAAUGAAGGUAUUAAGAUGGGAUGCGACAUCUUCACUAGGAAGGCCGGAGAAUUGCUCUUUCAUAACAAGAUUCAGCAAAGCAGCAUUGAUUUCAUAUGAUUCCGCACUAGUGGCGGGAGCAAUCGAAGUACUAAUAAAAUCAUUAUUAUUAGUAUUCGAGAAGUCACAAAGUUUGGUGUUUUCAGUCAUGGUGACUUCAGCAAGCAGACAAGCACACAAGCGAACAGAAAGCAAGCGAAAGAAAAGGGCGAACGAAAAAGGAAAAUAUUUUUGUAAAUUUUUGUUUUUCAGAAGUGGGGGAGAGGAAAACGAGAGGCAAAAAAGUAAAGUGCAAGAGAUGAGUUUGCGACAGUUACUUGGAUAAGCUUCACUUAGAAUGAUCCCCGGUGCCAGAGAUUGACAUGUUGGAGGAAUACUAUUCUUGACUUGAUGCUCCUCGACAACGGCGCCAGAAAUUCUUCUUGCUACCUCUUGAGCUUGCGUUGGUUUUUCCCUUGAAGAGGAAAGGGAGAUGCAGCACAGUAGCAGUAAGUAUUUCCCUCAGUUUGAGAACCAAGGUAUCAAUCCAGUAGGAGUAUCAAGCCAAGUCUCCAAAGUACCUGCGCAAAAACAGCAAAUUUUCACCCAACGCUACAAAGGGGUUGUCAAUCCCUUCACGAUUGAUUGCAAGGUGAGAUCUGAAGGCGGAAAGUGCAAUAAAGUAGAAGUGUAGGGCUGAAAAUAUGAUGUGAAGUAGACCCGGGGGCCAUAGUGUUCACUAGAGGCUUCUCUCAUGAUAGCAAAUAUUACGGUGGGUGAACGAAUUACUGUCGAGCAAUUGAUAGAACCGCGCAAAGUCAUGACGAUAUAUAAGGCAAUGAUCAUACAUAUAGGCAUCACGUCCGAGACAAGUAGAUCGAUACUUUCUACAUCUACUACUAUUACUCCACACAUCGAUCGCUAUCCAACAUGCAUCUAGUGUAUUGAGUUCAUAACAAACAGAGUAACGCCUUAAGCAAGAUGACAUGAUGUAGAGGGAUAAAUUCAUGCAAUAGAUAUAAACCCCAUAUUUUUACCCUUGAUGGCAACAACACGAUGUGUGCCUCGCUACCCCUUCUAUCACUGGGUGAGGACACCGCACGGUAUGAACCCAAAACCAAGCACUUCUCCCAUUGCAAGAACUGUAGAUCAAGUUGGCCAAACGAAACCCAUAACUCGAAGAGAAUUACAAGGAUAUGAAAUCAUGCAUAUAAGAGAUUAGAAGAAACUCAAAUAAGAUUCAUAGAUAAUCUGAUCAUAAAUCCACAAUUCAUCGGAUCUCAACAAACACACCGCAAAAGAAGAUUACAUCGGAUAGAUCUCCAUGAAGAUCAUGGAGAACUUUGUAUUGAAGAUCCAAGAGAGAGAAGAAGCCAUCUAGCUACUAGCUAUGGACCCGAAGGUCUGUGGUAAACUACUCAUGCAUCAUCGGAGAGGCCAUGGUGUUGAUGAAGAAGCCCUCCGUGUCCGAAUCCCCCCUCCGGCAGGGCACCAGAACGUGCCCCAGAUGGGAUCUUGCGGAGACAGAAGCUUGCGGCGGCGGAAAAGUAUUUCCGUGGCUCUCUCUCAUGGUUUCAGAUUUUUCGGGGAUUUAUAGGCGGAAGAAGUAGGGAAAGGGAGGCACGGGGGCCCACAAGCCUGCUAGGCGCCCCCCCCCCAGGCCGCGUCUAGGGGGCUUGUGGCCUCCCAUGGUGCCCUUUGACUUGGUUCUCAAGCUCCCUACGUAUCUUCUGUUCCGGAAAAAAAUCUUUUCGGAGGUUUUAUUCCGUUUGGACUCUGUUUAAUAUUCUCCUUUGAAAAAGGUCAAAAACACAGAAAAAACAGGAACUGGCACCUGGCACUAAGUUAAUAAGUUAGUCCCAAAAAAGAUAUAAAAUGCAUACAAAACAUCCAAAGUUUGACAAGAUAAUAGCAUGGAACCAUAAAAAAUUAUAGAUACAUUGGAGACGUAUCAGUACACUGUCAAACAACCUACUUAAUUAUAAAGAACCAACUUAUAAAGAAAUGCAUGUGUAGAAAACUUACAGUGUAGCUAUUUGUUGACUGCAUGCAUUCAGGAAUUAAUUUGAUUUCUUGUACUAGUUUCCUUGAUUAUAGAUUGUAAACUAAGACCUUUCCCCAUUUGUGAAACGGCAUUUGGUUUAUUAUUUUUAAAAGAAGGUGAACUCUUUCUCAUCACCUUGUGGUUUCUGCAUUUUCGGUAACAAGGUAAGAGCAGCCGCCCACUGGGCCCUUUGUUUCCCCCUUGUAUGCCUCGAGUAAACAAAACUAAGGUGAAGACUGGGCACGGGAUGCCUGGAUCAUCGUCACCUCGCAGCAAGAAGACAAGGUAAAUAUAACAGGUUUCUAGCAUCCCUUGUUGUGGAAACUAUGAGAUCCCUCCCUCUUUUGUUCUCCAUUUGUGGAACUACAUCUGGUUUUGUCUUAAAAAAUGUGAAUCCUCUUAUAUUAUUCUAUUUAUCAUGUGUGUGUGUGCAUGCCCCUUUCUCUUUACCUUGUUCUUGCAUUUAUUUGAAAAUUAUAGCUUGAUCCAGGACUUGGCACAAUAAUUUGUAACUCAACUUCAGAUAUUAAUCAUAUACAGCUGCAUUGAUCUGACUAAUCUAUUUGCUUUCUUCAUAGAUGUCAAAACUCAAAAGCAUUUGUAUGUAUCUAAGGAUUGUUUGUAAGUUAGCUCUAGUACAAAUCGAAUCCAGUGAGGCUUAUACUUAAUUCAGAACUUUGCAUGGCAGUAACUGAGUUUUAGUUAUUAAUCAUAUAUAGCUGCAUCGGCUCAUAUAUAUAAUAUAUUUGGUGUCUAUGUAGCACCUAAUAUAUAUGAGAUAUGCCCUCAAGUAUCAGCGUGUUAACUUUUUAUUUGGCAUCUAGCACCUAAUAUCUCAAGGCAGUUUCCCCAUUAGUGAAUCUGCCUUUGGUUUAUUUUGGAAAGAAGGUGCCUCUUACUUAUCACCUCAUGAGUUUUGCAUCUUAGGUAACAAGGGAAGAGCAGUCCCGCAUGGAGCCUUUGGUCUCCCCCUUGUAUGCCUAUGGAAAACAAAGUUGAGGACUGGACAGGGGAUGCCUUUGUCAUCAUCACUUCCCAGCAAAAAGACAAGGAAUGUAAAUAUAUUGGGCUUCUAGCAGCCCCUCUUGUGGAAAUUAUGAGGUCCCUCAUUGUUUAUUUCUCCAUUGGUAGAACUGCAUUUGGUUUAGUGAAGGAAAUGCUUACCUAUUGGUGUAGUGUUUGUUAUGCUCUGUAUAGGUAGAAGAAGUGAUAAUUAGUUGUAGAUAUUUUGCAUGAGGGGUCCUCGCUCUAAAACUAGUGCCUUUUCCCCAUCAGUCUUGAUUAGAUUUGGAGUGGUUGGGAAACCAAUUAGCACAGAUUCUCAACCCCAUGUUCACACACACAGAAAGCAUAUAUAAGAGAAGAUUGACAUGAAUGAGAAGUAACACAAAGAACGCAAGGCAUUAUAUUGUCCUUUACUCUUUUCUGAAUGUGGGUUAUGUAAACCGUUGUGUGAGAAAUAUGAGAAACAAUUAUCCUCAAAAAGACAAUGACUUUGUCACAUUCAUCGGACAACCCCAUAUUUUCGCUCACUUUCUUAGCUACCUAAGUAGUCGUGAAUAUUAACGAGUUAAUCUUUUUAAGGCAUACCAUCACAAUCCUAUCCAUGAAUAAACUAGGUGUAUUUUUGUUUGAGAAGACUAGUGGACAUAUAUUAAGUACUACCAACCCUUAUAAAAAUAUCAUUACAAAGAAUGAAGAAUACACCUAAAUUAUUUGAGGAGUUGGAGUCUUGUUUCUCUUACAUCCAUUCUGGUGAGCAAAGCUCGUUGCCACACCUCGAUGACUGUCUCAGCGAAGCAAGGGCGAUUUGCGCCUAGAAGCGGAUGCAUUUCUAACUAACUAGUAACAGUGCGCGUGCAACACAUGUGUAAUCAAACGAACAUGAAAUUCAAGUGAGUAUAAAAUUUUGAAAAAAAUAAAAGAGAAUAGUAAAGGGAAAAUACACACCCAUAAAUUCUAUUUUGGGGAUGUCCUGUGAAAUUCGAGCACAGAAAGAAGAAACCAUAACUCGUAUAUGUCAUAGAUGAAAGACAAUCGACUUGAUGAACAACUUAUCCAUAGAGAAGAUAGUGGCAUAGCCCAUUUUGUCUAUUGUAUUCUAAAAAUGCAAUCAAACGUCCGAUGAAGAUUUUAAAAUGACUAUUUAUGUUGGGUGAACUUUGGAAGGAACAUAUAAACAUUGUCCAAGUGAACAUGAUGGAGAUGCAAACUUGGAGCAAAGAUACAAAAAUAAAUCAGUCUUGGAAAAAAUUAAUUAGUUCAUUCUUGGAUUCAAGUUGCUUGUCAUCUUCAUAUGUUGAAGGCCCGGUGAUGGAGGUAAGUCCACCCAUGGGAGUCACAGUAGGCACCACCUGCGAGCUGGAAGAGUAUGUCGGUAUUCAAGGCAGUUUUUCCCCCACUCACUUUCUUCCAGCUUCUCCUAAAAAGUGGAACUACGGUUCAGAGAGAUGCUUGUUACAUAUAUAGCUGUAGAACGUGUAGAAGUCAAAAACAAAUCGAUAAAUCAUUAGAUUGAUAAUAAGAAAAUGCAGAGGGAAUUUAACAUUUUCUGCAUGAGAUAGAUGACAUGCAUGCCAAACAUUUCAUAAACCGGCUUAGUUCUGGCAAGAUUAAAAAUGAGCUAAAGAUGUUACCGUGCUAUCAACAUAUUAGCAAUGGAUAAAGUUUAUUACUCUAGAAUGGCAAACUGUACAAAUAAGGAAUUGGACCUUAGCAGAUUAGUUUCUAUAAUAAUUGUUGUUUCGCAAAGCUAACAAGCAAAGAGAAAAGGUAUUCAUUUGGAACAGCAUGCAUCUUAUUUAUGUGCUAAAUUUUUGUGCCAUAUUCAAUAAACACUUCCACGGUAUGCAACACAGUUUUAAAAUUAUAGGAAGAUAUUCUAGACUACGAAAACAUAACUGACAGACAACAAAAACAGAAAAAGCGAAUAGUUAAGACGACUAAGGUGGAAUACAAACAAGAAUUGCCUUUUGUGACCUCUAGUUAAAAAUAUGAGUUUGAAUCCUAAAGAUUUGAAGGACCAUGCACUCUCUUGGGACAUCGAUGCAUGACUUAGUACUUUGUAUGAAAUAAACACCUAUAUCAUGAAAGUACAAUCUACACAUGGAAAUAUGUGAAAUCCUCUACAAUAGGAAACAUACUCUAGUACUUCAGACAUGAUCUGACGAAAAGAAGAAAAUGUUCAAAGUUAUCGGUUCAUUGCGAAUCCGAUGAAGAACAAAAUAGUUGAGAGAAACUAUUCAGCAAUCAACAUGAUGCUCAUUAUUAGAGGUAAAGUAAUUACAUUUAAUCCAUGUAACUUUAAGAAGAGAGAUGCUGCAAAGCUCUCUAGAAGGCGCUUGGAAUGGAAUCAAUUGCAGUAGCACUUGCAUAAGAAAUGAUGCACUAACAUUUCUUGAAGGUUUCCUGCUACUUAUUAUUCACACUAACGAAAUUCAAAUAAAGACCAUAAAAAACAAUUCUAACAGUCUAGUUGGUUGUAGAGGAUUUUCCACAUGUAAUACUUUCCUGAAUGUCAAAUCUCGGCUAUGUUGGUUCCUCUUUAGUAGGCAAUUCUAAUUAAUUACGUGUUUGUCAAGUCUCGAUCCUAGAAACUUCAAAUCUAUGGUUCAGGAAAGUCUGCGAUUUACUUUUACUGAAUGAUAUGUUAUCUAUUAAUCUCCACCGAUCUUAUGGUUGAUAUGAACGAAAUUGAGGAAAGCAAAAUCAACUUAAAUUUUAGUAUGCACUGGACACCACCAGCCCAAUUUACAGGAAGGAUAGCUAGAUAGCUAGAAAUGUUUUUCACCUCCACUAAUAUAGAACAAUAUGACUCCAAACUGAGGAGGCGGAGGGGGUCUGCAUUACCAGAAUUUGUGAACCAUUAAUAUGAUAGAAACCUGAAGUCCAUCCUUCAUUGUUCCUUUGUAGACUACAGUCUCGAGAAUUGAGCCAAUUAUGUUGCUAAAAUUCUGACACACUACUUCAAGUUCCUCGCAACUCAACUUUUGCAAACUUUUAAGCAUAUCAGAAUCCGAGGAAAGCAUGAGCACGUUAGCAAUAAUAUAUGUUAUACAAAAUAAUCAAUUUAUUUUAUAAAGUUAAUACCAACCAAUAAGUAUUGUUANNNNNNNNNNNNNNNNNNNNNNNNNNGGCGACCGUGCGGAGCGAAGGUGCGGGCGGGGUGCGACGCAGUUACGAAGAGGACGUGCGAGGUGCUAGGAAGGGUUUUUUUUUAUAGGUAGGAGGAAGGAUUAGCGUUAACCGAGAUUUUGUUAUUUCAUUAACGAAGUAUUUAGAUCGUUGAUUACGUGAUUGGAGGGUCAGAUUUAUAUUUGAAUCUGCCCUUUCUUCCUUUUUAGUGAUAGUAGUGAAAAUGCUACACUUACAUACACUGUUACAUAAGCUUACAAAACCUUCCUCUCACGUAUUAAACACGUCCCCCCUGAUUUUCAGGGUGGGCCCGCGCCCCCACUAAGCUCAGUUAAAUAUUGACACCUCAUAAUUAACACGUAAACUCACGUAAGCUUACGUGGAUGUAGCAAAGCUCGUGAUAGUAGAUACAGUAGUAGAUAAAAAUCGGAUGCACUGACAUAAUAAAAUAGAGAAAUUUGCAUAUCCACAUGAAUCAGAUGACCACAACAAAUGUAGAGUAGUAGAUGGUCACAACUCACAACAAAAGAAAGGAAAAAACGGUAGUCUGAACUGAAUUGCCACCCUACUUACCGCAGUUCAGUUUUUAUACGGUGCUCGUCGGCGGGAACCUGCGCGUGGCAGAUCGCCGAAACUAGAGCGAGCGUGCGACGGCGUCCAGCACCGUCUCGACCGCGCGCCUCCNNNNNNNNNNNNNNNNNNNNNNNNNNNNNNNNNNNNNNNNNNNNNNNNNNNNNNNNNNNNNNNNNNNNNNNNNNNNNNNNNNNNNNNNNNNNNNNNNNNNNNNNNNNNNNNNNNNNNNNNNNNNNNNNNNNNNNNNNNNNNNNNNNNNNNNNNNNNNNNNNNNNNNNNNNNNNNNNNNNNNNNNNNNNNNNNNNNNNNNNNNNNNNNNNNNNNNNNNNNNNNNNNNNNNNNNNNNNNNNNNNNNNNNNNNNNNNNNNNNNNNNNNNNNNNNNNNNNNNNNNNNNNNNNNNNNNNNNNNNNNNNNNNNNNNNNNNNNNNNNNNNNNNNNNNNNNNNNNNNNNNNNNNNNNNNNNNNNNNNNNNNNNNNNNNNNNNNNNNNNNNNNNNNNNNNNNNNNNNNNNNNNNNNNNNNNNNNNNNNNNNNNNNNNNNNNNNNNNNNNGGCGCGGCCGACCCUCGCGCCGCCCAGAAGCUGCUCGACGAAAUGCCCCGGUGGGGGCUCGCACCUAGCUCCCUCGCGCGCACCUUCCUCGUCAAGGCCUUCCUCCGCAGCCGCGACGUCGGCGCGGCCAUGGACCUCGUCGACAGCCAACUCUGGACCAGCAUGGAGCGCUGCCAUGAUGAGGACCAGGGGCUCAAGAACGCCGCGUUCGCCAACCUUGUGCAGUGUCUGUGCGGCGAGGGGUUCUUCCACAUUGUCUUUCGCGUCGCGGAGGAGAUGCCACAGCGGCGCUGCCUUGUCCCAGACGAGUUUGCCUAUGCCCAGAUGAUCGACUCUCUCUGCCGGGCUGGACAGCACCAUGGCGCCUCCAGAAUAGUGUACGUCAUGGGGAAGAGGGGCCUGCGCCCAAGCACCCUGUCCUACAACUGCAUUGUUCACGGGCUAUGCACCAGCCAGAAGCCCGGGGGACGCCUGAGGGCGUACCAGUUGGUGAUGGAAGGUGUGCGUUCCGGGUACCGGCCGAGAGAGGUAACAUACAAGGUACUCGUUGAAGAGCUCUGCCGGGAGAAAGAGCUUGCCAAGGCCAAGGAUAUCCUAGAGCUCAUGCUGCAACCCCAAUGUGGGCAUGACAAGGCUGACAUGGAGACCAGGACUAGGCUAUACAAUAUGUUCCUUGGGGCACUGCGUGCUGUGGACAACCCAAGCGAGCAGCUCAGUGUGCUCGUGUCCAUGUUGCAGGGGGAUUGUAAACCGGAUGUGAUCACUAUGAACACUGUCGUUCAUGGCUUCUGCAAAGUUGGGCGGACCCAGGAGGCUAGAAAGAUUUUGGACGACAUGAUUAACGGGAAGUUCUGUGCUCCUGAUGUUGUCACCUUCACCACCCUCAUUUCUGGAUACCUGGAUGUAGGUGAGCAUGCAGAAGCCCUCCAUGUGCUGCACACUUUGAUGCCUAGGCGCCGAUGUGCGCCUAAUGUCGUCACUUAUAAUUCUGUCCUCAAGGGAUUGUUCUGCCUUGGGCUAGUUGACAGAGCAAUGCAGGUCCUCGACGAAAUGAAAUUAAGUAGCAUCACUGCCGACUCUGUGAGUCACACUGUGGUGAUCAAAGGGUUGUGCGACGCGGGACAACUCGAGGAAGCAAAGGCGUUCUGGGACAAUGUAGUCUGGCCAUCAGGGAUACAUGAUGGUUAUGUGUACAGUGCAAUCUUGAGAGGCCUCUGCAAGCUGGGGAAACUGGAGCAGGCAUGCGAUUUCCUGUAUGAGUUGGCAGACUCUGGGGUUUGUCCCAGUGUUGUCUGCUACAACAUACUCAUUGACACUGCCUGCAAGCAGGGAUCGAAGAAGUUGGCCUAUCAAUUGGUGAAGGAGAUGAGAAGGAAUGGCCUUUCACCGGACGCUGUCACUUGGAGAAUUCUUGAGAAAUUGCACCUUUACGGCAAUGAAGAACAAGGGGAGGAGCACCAAGUCCCCACUUUUCAUGUCGAUCAAAGUUCUGCAGAUGACCAAGUAGAGCCUCUCGUCUCGACAAAAAAUGAGAUACCUUCGUUGUCAUCGUCUGAACAUUUGGGUGAAAUAUACAAGAAUAACAACGAAGCUAAGGUUGAAGAAACUGGAAGGUCACCAGAAAUGACUGAGAACCCAUCAGAUCUUACUGAGACAGCAAAAGAGCAGAACUAUCUGAUAGACAAUUCAGUGGUUGGACCUACAAUGGACAAGGAUCAUACAAUCAGUGAUGAUGGCUUCAACAAGCAGGAUAAGCAACCUCUAAGAGAAUCACUUUCUGGAGUAGCCAGAAGGGUUUUUGGCUUGCUCUAGAACAAGAACAAGUGUUGCUGGUUAGAAGGGGCACAUACUUUUCAAAAAAAAGAAGGGGCACAUAUUAGAACAUAGUGCAAUGAAGGCUAAAUUUUUAUUGUUAUUUUGGACCUGUCAAUGAAGGCCGAGUUAGUGACAACGGCAAAGCUGGUAACCUGUCCACCUAUUGGAGAAUAAGGCUUGAGCUUGACUGACAUGACUGAUUUUUGGCUGCACUUGACAUAAGCUUGUCGAUAACCAAUCUGACAUGUUUUAUAAGUGCAUCUCUACUCAGUACUCACCCAACAACUAAAUCCAUAAUUUUGCAGAAAUCGAUGGAGAGUAAAGAACACUGCAUGCAGUGUCUUCAGGUUGCUCAAGUUUUGCAAUUGCUCGCCACUGUCAGGUCUUGUUGUGUUGUGAUGCAUAUGAAGAUACUUGGGAGCAUGCUCUACUUUAUUCUACAAUGUCUAAGUGCACCUGGGCUUUUUUUGAUGAAGAUCUCAUGGAGAUGCUUGCAAGCCUGUGAAUCACUGAUCCAGUCCAUAUAUGUAACAGCAUGUCACAAGGUGAGACGGCCAAGGUACUUAUCACUUCAUGGGCGGUAUUGUUGGCGCGUCUCAAGGUAUUGAGAGCGUUUUGACAAGGACUGAUGUUACUGUCGGACUUGUUAACUGUAUGCUGCUGGCCUGGAGUUCAUCUAUGAAGAGCGGUUUGCUUCUGGUGAUGGCGGAGCUGUAAAACACGGGAUUAGGGGAUGGAUCUUGCUGGGUCCAGGGGAGGUGAUACUGAACACUGACAUUGCUCUUCUCUGAGGCAAUUCCAUGGCAGCGGACACAGCUGUCUGCCGUGAUCAAAAGAGCCUGAUAUAAUGGAAACUAUGGCGAGCGCAGAUGUUUUGAUUGUAUUAAGGUGGCUUCAGAUUGCUAAUUCCAUCAACAACUUUGUAGGAGACGAACAGGUGCUCUUACAUGAUGUUCAUCCAAGACGAAGAAUCGCGCACAGAUUGGACACGGUAGGUAGGGAUGCAGAGGUAGCAGCUCACAGCUCAGCAUUGCUCGCUUGUACUCUGGGUGUUGAUGGCCAAUAUAUGGAAGGUAAUAACCUGCGGUUUAAUGCUGGAUGAUGUACAUUUUUAGUAAGUAUUGAAAACGGAAAAAAUAUAUAGGCACCAAAUUGCUCCAUGCCCAUGGAGGGUUUAGCCGCCGCCACACAUCAUCCAGCAUCAGUCGGAAAUGAGGACGCAGAUCUGGGGGGCAGGUCGCAUGAGCAAGCAAAACCAUUGUAACCUUGCUGGUUCCUUGCGAUGCUGUGGGGGAGAUCAUCCUUUGCGUAAACACGGCCACGACGAGGAAUGGUCAGUUCAAAAUUCCCCGUCCUCUAUCCUACUUUCUUCUGUUUUUCUAUUUCUGAUGAUUAUCCUUGUGCCGGCAGGCGAGAUUGGCCGAACCUGCCUACGGUGCUCCUUGACGAUAUCGUCGGUCGGCUUCUCCUCUACGACGUGGCCGAGUACAUCCGCCUCCGUGCUGCGUGCAAGGAAUGGAGGAACUGCACCGAUGAUCCGCGCAUGGGAGGCGGCCUGGACUGCCGCUUCCGCCCCCGCCGCUGGAUCAUGCUGUCCAACCGCACCAAGGGCGAUGGCCGUCGCUUUCUCAACCUCUCCACCGGUGCCAGCGCUUGUGUCAAUCUCCCGGAGCUCUCCCGCCACCACCUUGAGACCAGCACCGAGGGCCUCCUGCUCCUGCGUGGCAAGGCGAGCCACACUGUUCGCCUCUUCAACCCGCUCAACAGGGCCUUCACCAACCUCCCGCCCAUCACCCCGGACCUCGGCAGAGCGUACAUUGUCUGGACGGGGCUGUUGGAGUCUUCGGAGCGCCUCAUCUAUGCCGGCAUCUCUGAAGAGACCUCCCCAGCGUCGGUCGUGCUCCUGAUGAUUGACCAGGGGCGUGCCAUAGUCUACGCCAAGCCUGGCGACCAGCGGUGGGCUGUGAUUGAGCAUGACGAGAUCGGGAGACUCGAUCGCUACUCAUCAUAUCGGUUAUCGUCGGCUUCAACCCUGCAGGGGCGCUUCUACUUUGCGACUCUUGAGGGGAAUAUAAUGCAUGUGAGGCUCUGUCCUGAGCCUCGGUUGGUGCCUGUAGUCGUGAACCAGCCCAAAACCAGGGGUCAUGUGUCCUCCUACCUUGUCCCUCCCGACGACCACCGCUGCGGCAGCAUGCUCAUGGUGCGCUACUACCUCGACCUUGAUCACCUCAGCGCUAACGAGCGGAGAAUCAUUACGCGCAGGAGGAAGCGCAUGGAUGUGAUCAGGGUGGGGAACAGGUUGAAGGAGUGUCAGUGGAACCUGAUCCAGGUGUUUGAGGUGAAUGUGGCCAGAAAAAGGCUCGUCCCGGUGGAGGACAUUGGCCGCCACCGCGCGGUGUUUGUCGGGGAGGCGGCAUGCUUUUCCCUCUCUGCCAGGACGUUUCCGUGCGUGGCGGGGAACGCGGUGCACCUGGGGGCGACUGGUGCCCGCUACCCUCCCGUCGGAGUGCGGUAUCUGGCGGACAAGAGUGCGGAUCCACCGUUUGAAUUCACCACUGACGGGCCAGCUUCUCCUGAUGAACCACUGAAAUGGUACCACCGACAUAACAGACCGGAGCUGAAUCUUUUUCUUGACACUGGAUCAGAGCUGAAUCUAGUGCCUCUUGCUCGCCCCUGUACCCUGCAAGAGUACCUCGUAUGUUGCGCAGGCCUCCCUGGCGGCCUCAAGGACUGAUCAAAUCCUGAGCGAGUUAGGUAUGUCGUUCUUGGAUUGUGUGUUCUUGAGAAGUUUAAACAUCAGUGCUAUAGCUCCUCGAUUCAUUUCUCCCUUGUGUUGCCGCAAAAAAUUAUGAAAGAUGGGCAAUGAAGUCUAGAAUUAUGCAAUAGCAGUUGUUACCUCUAAAGUUUAAGCUGAUGUGUUCUUCAAAUACUUGCCUCGGUUAAUUUCUCACUUGUGUUGCUCCAGGAAAUUCUGAAAGAUGAGCAUACAAUCCAGUGUAGGAUUAUUUAUACAAGACCGCUUGUUUUUUUUUCCUCCAAAUUUUAAAUGAUGUGUUAUUUGAAAUACUAUAUGAUUCUGAGGAUAUAUAGAAAUUGCAUAAGAACCUAUGGUGCUAAUCCAUAGAGCAGGAACCAAAACCUACAUCAGGAUAUAACUUUUAGCUUUUGUGUGAACUCCAUGCACAUCUUUGUCUGUAAGCAACAAUUGUGCAAUGACUAAAGAACGAUAUGCGUGCAAUUUUUUGAGCUCCUCGGGAGCAACUGUUGGGUGAGACAUGAACAUGUAGGAACAUACAAAACUUAAGAAGCCUAACACCAAUACACAGAGGAACUGAAAUGGAUAAAACUCAAGCAGGAAUUUGACAACCAUAAAACCAUGCAUAGCUUCCAACCAUCAGUCUAAGGAGAAGUCUGGUAUGGUCACUAAUAAAUGGAAACCCCACAAAAAAGAAACAGCCCAGGGGAAAAAGGAGUACAAUCCACAAACCUAAGAUAGCAUGUAAAAGCACAUAUUAAAUCACAUAUAUCUGAUGGAAGUGCAGAGGAUCUGAUGGAGGUGAUACUGAUAAUGUAGAUUCUGAUGAAGAUUUUUAUGACAGUCUGGGACAAUGAAGUACACAGAAGGUGAUGAUGAUAUAUAUGCUACCAGUGCAGAUGAGGAUGUUGAAGAUGUUCUACUUCCUAGCAAGGGCCAGAAACUGGAAGAAGGGGAUGCAAAGUGAUGGAUAAGUCUCUGUACUAGGUCUUUGUGGGGCUGCAACACAUGGUCCUUUGUGGGGCUGCAGCACAUGGUCCUUGUGGCUGUUAGGAUAGAAUCCUUGACCACCAAGGACUGGCAGUUAGGAUAGCAUCUUAGACUAGCAUCUUAGCAGCAUCUUAGACUAGCAUCUUAGCAUAUGCUUGGCUGGCUAGCAGCCUAUAAAUAUGUAUCCCCAACCCCUCAGGUUGGUAUGGCAUUGUGUGAGAAAUAAACCAACGAAAAUUGUCCCAACUCUCCUAGUGUCAUCUACAACUAUCAAUGCUCAGGCUGAAAGGUCUAACAAGUGGUAUCAGAGCCUCGUUAUCUUGUAUCAUGAGCAUUUCCUGCUCACCUCUCUCACUGGGAGUUGAGCAGCCUAAGCCGGUAGCAGCAGCUGCUCCCACUGCCCCUGGUUACUUCCCUCCUUCCGGACUGUCGAGCAGCAGCUCGUUAGAAACAGCCUCCUCGUCACGCAACAGCCCCCCUGCAGCCAGCCAUGUCUGCAGGUCGCUCUCAGCACACGGCUACCUCGAGCAUACGGCGCCGGCAGGAGGCCGAGCGCGCCGUGGCAGAGGAGCGUGAGCGAGCGGCUGUAGUAGCCGUUGCUGCGGCAGCAAGGGUGUCGAGGUUGGCUGCAGCUAAGCUGGCAGUAGCCAGAGCGGAGGUAGAAGCAGCAGCAGCGGAGGCAGCACAUGAGGCUACGGCGGAUGCCAAGGCACUCCGCGACAACUCUGGCAGCUCCAACGGCUCCGCGCGUGCGGACGAUGACGCCGACGCAGACCGCGCCAAAGUAGCGCAAGAGCGGACGGCGCAGUGGGCAGCCGAGCACGCCCGCGCUCCAGGUGGAGGUGCACACGGAGACGGCGACUGCGACGACCAGGACCGCGGCCUCUACGAGGUCCGAACUGUGGUCAGGGAUGUUGGUCCCAGUGUUGGGUGGCCUACCCUCACUAAAACCAACUACGUCGAGUGGGCCGCGAUCAUGAAGAUCAGGCUCCAGGUGCGGCGCCUGUGGGAGGCAGUCCAGGACAGCAACGUCGACCACCAAGAGGAUCGACGGACGCUGGAUGCCCUCAUCGCCGCAGUCCCGCCCGAGAUGCAGGUCUCGCUUUCCAACAAGCGGACUGCCAAGGAGGCUUGGGACGCCAUCGCCCCUAGGGAUGGCAAUGGGUACCCAUUACCCACGUACCCUGCGGGUAAAAACCCUAUUAGGGUAAGGGUAUGGGACAAAAUUUUACCCAUGGGUAUAUAAAUAGAAAAGUCUAACACCCAUCGGGUAGAGCGGGUAUGGGUAUGGGAUCAUAUAACCCAUACCCAUAUACCCAUGUACCCAUAUAAAAUCUAUAUAAACUCAAAAUUAUCUCUACAAUCUACACUGUGUCAAUAAUUUAUGAAUUGAAAGUGUAUGCCUAUGUGUUGUUGUUUAUGACUAUAUGAUGUUGUUUUAUAAGUAUGUGUUGUAGUUAUAAUAUAUCUUUGUAAACUAUAUGAUACAAUGCAGUUUAUAACUAUAAGUUGUUUAAAUUUAUGUUUUGCAAAUAUGGGUAAUUUUACCCACGGGUACCCGUCUACCCUGUCGGGUAACGGGUAUGGGAAAAAAUUGUAUCCGUUGACGGGUAUGGGUAAGGGUGAUGGGUAAUAUUAGACGGGGCGGGUAAGGGUAUGGGGAGGCUUCACCUGUACCCAUACCCUGCGGGUGCCAUCCCUAAUCGCCCCAGCACGCAUUGGCAGCGACCGUGCUCGCAAGUCCACACUGCAGGCACUACGUAAGGAGUGGGAGAGCCUGGCCUUCAAGCCAGGUGAGGACGUUGAUGACUUUGCUCUCCGUCUCAACACUCUGCUGCAGAAGAUGGUGAAGUUCGGCGAUGCCACCUACACCGAGGAGAGAGCUGCCGAGAAGCUUUUCUGGUGCAUUCCCGAGAAGUACAAGCAGAUGGCUCGCUCGAUCGAGUCUUUGUUGGACCUCUCUGCAAUGACGAUCGAGGAGGCGAUAGGUCGCCUCAAGGUCGUCAACACUGACGAGCCACAGCCUCCCUCGGGGCCCAUCACCACAGGCGGGAAGCUGCUCCUAACUCGGGAGCAGUGGGAUGCCAGCCUUGGUGACAGGAAGAAGGGGGAGCCUUCUUCCACGACGGGCAGCCGCAAGCGCGGCACGCAGCGCAAGGCACAAAGAGGCGCCACUGGCAAGGCACAAGGACGUGCCGAAGGUGACGCCCGUAGAGGCACCAAGGACGGCGCUGCUGGCAAGGCACAAGGACGUGCCGAAGGUGACGUCCGCGGAGGCGAAGCCCAAGCCGGCACAGGACAACAGUUGCCACAACAGUUGCCACAACUGUGGCCGGCUUGGCCAUUGGGCCAAUGAGUGUCGACAGCCACGACAAGGCCAGGCUCAUGUCGCACAGGCGGAGGAGGAGGAGACGGCUCUGUUCAUGGCGCAUGCAAGCAUCGAGCUACCUUCAGCGACACCAGUCGCAAAGGCCCUCCUCCACCUCGACGAGCCCAAAGCGCACGCUCUUCUCGGUGAUGGCUCCGGGAAGGACAAGACUUCUGGGUGGUGCCUCGAUACCGGCGCCACCCACCACAUGACUGGUCGAAGGGAAUUCUUCGCCGAGCUCGACUCCGACGCAUGAGGCUCCGUCAAGUUUGGGGAUGCCUCUGCCAUGGAAAUUAAGGGCGUCGGCUCCGUCAUCUUCACCACCAAGGCGGGAGAGCACCGGCUGCUCACGGGUGUCUACUACAUCCCCACGCUAAGGAACUCCAUCAUCAGCUUGGGACAGCUGGAUGAGAACGGCUCACGCGUGCUGAUCGAGCAUGGGGUCCUAUGCAUCUGGGAUCGCCAGGGUCGCCUUCUCGCCAAGGUACCCAGAGGUGAAAAUCGACUCUACGUCCUCGACGUGCAGGUGGCACAACUUAUCUGCCUCGCUGCUCGUCGGAACGACGAGGCGUGGCAAUGGCAUGAGCACUUUGGGCAUCUUCAUUUCGAGGCCCUGAAGCGUCUGAGUGCCAAGGAGAUGGUGCGAGGCCUGUCGUGCCUUGACCAUGUGGAGCAGUUCUGCGACAUCUCCGUACCGACGAAGCAGAGGCGACUCCCCUUUCCCCAGCAGGCGGUUUUCCGGGCCAAGGAGAAGCUGGAGCUCGUGCACAGGGACCUAUGUGGCCCGGUGACGCCAGCCACACCAGGAGGUCGAUGCUACUUCCUGUUGCUCGUCGACGACCUCUCUCACUACAUGUGGGCGAUAGUCCCGGCAGCAAGGCAAAGGCGGCGGACGCCAUCAGGCGCGCGGGGGUUGCUGCGGAGGCGGAGAGCGGCCGCAAACUACGCGUGUUGCGCACCGACAAUGGCGGCGAAUUCACAGCGGUUGAAUUCGCGUCGUACUGCGCUGAUGAGGGUAUCCAGCGCCACUACUCCGCGUCGUACAACCCACAGCAGAACGGUGUUGUCGAGCGGUGCAACCAGACGGUUGUGGGGAUGGCUCGGGCUCUCCUCAAGCAGAGAGGGAUGCUGGCUGUUUUCUGGGGAGAGGCGGUGCUAACGGUCGUCUACAUCCUCAACCGCUCGCCUACUAAAGCACUCGACGGCAGGACGCCGUACGAGGCCUGGCAUGGGCGGAAGCCGGCCGUCUCCCACUUGCGGGUCUUUGGCUGUCUUGCGUUCGCGAAGGAGCUCGGACACAUCGGCAAGCUCGACGACAGGAGUACUCCGGGAGUCUUCAUUGGCUACGCGGAGGGCUCAAAGGCCUACCACAUCCUCGACCCAAAGACACAGUGUGUGCACACGGCGCGAGACGUCGUGUUCAACAAAGGGCGAGGGUGGAAAUGGGACAAGGCGGUGGACGACGGCUCGACGCCGACGUAUGACGACUUCAUUGUCGAGUACGUCCACUUCAAGGAAGCCGGGGGAGCAAGCAGCUCCUCUUCGCCGAGCACGUCUACCCCAGCCCCCAAAACUCCAUCAACUCCGGUGCCUGCUACGCCGAUGGCACCACAACCGGCGACGCCGCAUACUCCAGCCCCGGCAGUCACCACUCCAGGCUCGUCUUCAUCAGCACCAGCUCACGCAGAGCACAACCCGAUGAAGUUCGCUUCCCCGCUCACUCACGACGAGGAGCGCAUCGACGCGUAUCAUGGCGGCGAACCGCUGCGGUAUCGUACGAUGGAUAAUCUACUCGGCGACCAGCCGGUGCCGGGACUGGUACCACGCGACCUGGAGGCGCGACUACAACUCGUGUGUGAGGACGGCGAACCUCGGUCCUUUGCAGAGGCCGAGAGAGACGCGGCAUGGCACGCCGCGAUGCAGUUGGAGAUGGAUGCGGUCGAGCAGAACCGCACCUGGGAGCUCGCUGACCUCCCUCGUGGUCACCGGGCAAUCACCCUUAAGUGGGUGUUCAAGCUGAAGAGGGAUGGAGCCGGCGCCAUCAUCAAGCACAAGGCUCGCUUGGUGGCCCGAGGCUUCUUGCAGCAGGAAGGAGUCGACUUCGACGACGCUUUCGCUCAUGUGGCACGGAUGGAGUCCGUGGGACUUCUUCUUGCACUAGCUGCCCAGGAGGGCUGGCGUGUCCAUCACAUGGACGUCAAGUCGGCAUUCCUCAACGGCGACUUGAAGGAGGAAGUCUAUGUGCAUGAGCCGACGGGAUUGCGAUCCCCGGCCAGGAGGGCAAGGUACUCCGCCUGCGUAAGGCUCUCUAUGGCCUACAGCAGGCACCUAGAGCGUGGAACGCCAAGCUGGACUCCACGCUAAAGAAGAUGGGCUUCGAGCAAAGCCCGCAUGAGGCGGCCGUCUACCGACGGGGCAGUGGAGGAAAUGCCCUGCUGGUGGGCGUCUAUGCUCACGACUUGGUGAUCACCGGCAUUAAGGAUGCAGAGGUGGCGGCUUUCAAGGAGGCAAUGAAGGCUACCUUCCGGAUGAGUGAUCUGGGGCUCCUCUCCUUUUAUCUAGGGAUCGAGGUGCACCAGGAUCACUCCGGGAUCGCGCUUCGACAGCCCGCCUACGCCAAGCGCAUCGUUCAGCUAGCUGGGCUCACCGACUGCCACCCAGCUCUCACUCCGAUGAAGGAGAGGCUGAAGCUGAGCCGCGACAGCACGACGGAGGAAGUGGACGCUACGCAGUACCGGCGCCUUGUGGGGAGCCUUCGCUACCUCGCCCACACAUGGCCGGACUUGGCAUUCUCCGUCGGCUAUGUCAGUCGGUUCAUGGAGCGACCGACAUCGGAGCACCUGCAGGCAGUGAAGAGGAUCGUCCGCUACGUGGCAGGGACCCUCGACCACGGCCUCCACUACCCUAGGUGUCCGGGGGCGGCACACUUCGUUGGGUACAGCGACAGCGACCACGCCGACGACAUUGACACCAGAAGAGCACGAGCGGGAUCCUCUUCUUCCUCGGCAAGUGCCUCGUGAGCUGGCAGUCGGUCAAGCAGCAGGUGGUGGCCCUGUCCAACUGCGAGGCCGAGUACAUAGCGGCCUCCACCACCUGCACUCAGGCGCUCUGGCUCGCUCGACUGCUUGGUGAUCUCCUCGUCCGAGACACUAGAACGGUGCAGCUCCUGGUGGACAGCAAGUCCGCCCUGCCCUGGCAAAGAACCUUGUUUUCCACAAAAGGAGCAAGCACAUUCGACUGAGGUACCACUUCAUCUGAAGCUGUUUGGAUGAAGGGAGCAUCGAGGCGAGCUACAUCAACACCAUGGACCAGCUCGCAGAUCUGCUCACCAAGCCUCUUGGGAGGAUCAAGUUCCUCGAACUCUGCUUCAGGAGCGGGAUGAUUCGACUCUCCCACAAGACGACGUACAAGAUUUAGGGGGUGAUGGAUAAGUCUAUGUACUAGGGUCUUUGUGGGGCUGCAGCACAUGGUCCUUUGUGGGGCUGCAACUUGUGGCUGUUAGGAUAGAAUCCUUGACCACCAAGGACUGGCAGUUAGGAUAGCAUCUUAGACUAGCAUCUUAGCAUAUGCUUGGCUGGCUAGCAACCUAUAAAUAUGUAUCCCAACCCCUCAGGUUGAUAUGGCAUUGUGUGAGAAAUAAACCAACGAAAAUUGUCCCAACUCUUCUAAUGUCAUUCACAACUAUCAAUGUUUAGGCUGAAAAGUCUAACACAAAGAACCCUAUGAAAGAUAAACUUGAUCUACCAUCUUUAGGUGAAGAGAAAGAGAGAGAAAGGAAGUUCAGAUUCAAAUCUUUCCCACAGGCUGUGACAUGGCCGCACCUCAUUUCAAAUCGGACAUGGUAUUCUCGACGUUUAAGCAGCUGGGGGAUGCCAUUGAUGAAUAUAGUAUUAGAAAUAGGGUAGCCAUAAAGAAGAGCAGGACCUCGAGGCCAAGGGUGGAGGUGCACCGUGCUCAUCGAUACCUUUGGUAUUUCUAGGCGACUUAAGUGGUUUAAGAAGCUUGUUUGUGGAGAGAUAUGUUGCUCAAUAUACUGGUGCCAAACAAUCUAUACCUACUAAUAAAGAAAAUAGGUAUUCUUAGUUCGUCAUGCUAUUUUAUAGAAAAAACCCUGAUGUUUCUGACAUUAAACCCGUAGUACAUAUUAAAUGUUCUUUAAAAUAUUCAUAUCUUCUAAACCGUAACUCUAAAUUUAACAUGUUAUAUAUGAAACUACCUUGUAAACCCUGAUGUUUUCCGGCCGGCCGCGAACAUACCAAAGUUGCUUUGUAUGUCGUCUACUCGCCCACGCAGCGUCUCCCCUGAAUCCCGACACGACAAACAUCACCGCCAUCCGACACGGCCCUUUGAUCUCAUCAUCGCAGAUCGAAAGCAUCAAAUGCGAGGCACGACGCCAUGGCCUCAACCUCCCUACGCGUCGACACGUGCAAUUGGAUGGAGUGCCAAUCCAACGUGGCCAUCGGAUCGCAUUGUUGCGGAGCGACAGUUGUAGUGCAAUCCAACGGAGGCAUGACGACAUGGUCUUUGACCUCCCUACACGAAGAGGCACGGAUUAGGACGGCCUUGCCUCGACUUAUUGGCAUGAAGGUAAGCCCAGCGACGCCCAUGAUGCGGUGCAAAGUCCUGCUGGCCAGUGAAGGGAGCAACACAAAAUUCCUAAAAAUCGAAGUUUGGUCCAGCCACUGUCCCAACGCGGCUUGAUUCGAGCAAAUGAAGAUGUCUCUCAUCGAUCCAAACUAACAGGAGGACCACGCCUACACGGCAAAUCUAAAUACGGAGCUUGUUUCCGCUUUGCACAUGGUGAGCAACUCGCCAAUUCAUCUGUACUUUAUAUGUUUGACAUCAACUUUUCUAUCACGUAUUAAUGGUUGUCAAAAGUAAGCUGGCAAUGUUGUUCAGAUCUCCUAAUCUCACUGAUUCCUUAUCAAUAGUAGGGGAGCAGUCAGGUUCGCUAAAACAUAUCAAUGACCGCUUGGUCUAAAUAACUGAAUUGUUCUUUUCAUGUAAUCCUAAACAUGCACUUAAUUUCAUACCGUGAUCAGGUUUAUCAAAAAUCAAGCAUCUCUUUAUCUAAAUAACUUAAUGGUGUGUUUCCUUGGAAUCUGAAGCAUGCAUGGUGAAAAAGGAAAAUCCAACACAUGCACUUGAUUUCAUGGAAAUUAUUGUGAACUCUUCAAAGAGAAAAAUUGUUUUGGUGUGGUAUGUGCAAAUCUAUUUAUAAUUUUCCUUCUGUGUCAUAGAAGGUUGAGUUGUACUUCGAGUUUUGUAGGUCUGCCUUGUAAGUAAGGUUAGAAGAAAUUUGGUAAUCACUGUAACUUACCAAUUAAACCUUAGUUUCUUAUUUAUGUACAGACAUGUAUGAUACUCAUGGUUUAGGCUCUAAAUAAUAUAUCAACUCAUGAAGCUAAUGGCUCCUAACACCGCAAAUUAACUAGAAGGUAAUUUAAAUAUUAAAAUUAACUAAUAAAGAAAAUAGGUAUUCUUAGUCCGUCAUGCUAUUUUAUAAAAAAAAUCUGAUGUUUCUGACAUUAAACCCGUACUACAUAUUAAAUGUUUUUUAAAAUACUCAUAUCUUUUAAACCGUAACUCCAAAAUUGGUUUAAAACUCUAAAAUUAACAUGUUAUAUAUGAAAUUUGAUUAGAAAAAUAUGUAGAAUCUGCAUAUGAUGUUAUUUUACCUGUUAAUUUUUUAAAGAAAGACUAUCUAGGAUAUAAUCUUAAUAAAUAAUGCAUUAUUCGUCUUUCUUUCAUACAUGUAUUGAUCCGAAUUGAGGAUGAACAUCUCAACAAAAUCAGGAUUGGAGAUGAAAUUGAAGGUCACUUGCCCAUUUCUUUGUACGUGUUAAAUAUACAUUCAAGCCGUGUUGAAAUAGAAGACAUGUGAAAUCUUAAACUUCACAUUUGUAGAGUAAGACCAUCUUUGUUUAUGCCGUAACUACAAAUUUUCAUAUUAUAGAUCAUUUUUUAUAAAUUAAGAGCUUGUGGUAUUUUUUUUCUCCCGUUGAUAUGAAGGCUAUGAAAGCUACCCAGUAUCAAAAUUCAACAGGUUCCUGUACCACAUAGCAAAGGAGUUUGGGGUGUGAUUCCGCUGUGUUGGGGCUUGGGAUCGAGUCCAACAUUGCAGGCGUCAAGGCUCCCUCAUUUUGAUGCCAUUUGCAGGAUUUCAGACGGCCGGACCAGUCAGACAAAUUGAUGAUAUAGCAAAAGGGGUUCUCUAGAUUGAUUGGAUAGCCAAAAAUGUUCCAACGUGUCCAGAUAUUACUUGUGGGCCUAAAGGAAAUUGCUCUGCUUCCCUCAGAAAACUAUAUCAAAAAUUAGAACCAAUCCAUGGUUCUAAGUUGUUCGUGCACGAGGACCAAUUCACGGUUUUUCAUGCUGUUUGUACAGAAAAAGGGUGACAAGUGAGGCCAGCAAUGUAAGUGGCACCUGUAGAGAUAGCUCAGCACUAAUGGAGUAAGAGGCUCAAAAUCAGACUGACCAAAACUUCAUCAGGAGUAAAAAAGCACCACCGUUUUAGCACAGCAGCUAAUGUGAAAGCAAGAACAAAUCUCCAUAAUACUUGUCUAUAGGUUCACAGACAUAUGGAUCCACAGUCGAGGGGAGACAAAAUAUAAGGAUUCUUCAAAUUAAACCAUCCAUGUUCAACAGAGCACAACAUAAGAUAGGUGGAUAACUAGGGAGGUACUCAGAUCAAGUAUCAAAACUCAACAAGCACUACAAUAUAACAAUGCGCUCUAAUCUUCCUCCUCGCCCUCGUUCUCGGCAAUGUUGAAGUACCGGAGCUCGUACACGUUGCGCUCCUUGUUGGCUGCGAUCACACGAAGCCAGUCCCGCACGUUGUGCUUCUUCAAGUACUUCUUGGUCAAGUACUUCAGGUACCUGAGAAGCCAGACGAAUGAUGUCAUCAGAUCAUAUACAACCAAAGAUGGCUGCUGGUAACGUAUAUUGGACAAGAA
RNAcentral lists this long non-coding RNA (53083 nucleotides) under Hordeum vulgare. RNAcentral describes it as "long non-coding RNA (HVUL_LNC020817)". The record is from RNAcentral. Lineage: Eukaryota; Viridiplantae; Streptophyta; Magnoliopsida; Poales; Poaceae.